AGUUUUACAACAAUCCGCCUUGUCAGUAUGGUACAAGCACAGGCAAUGCCGAUAACCUCUUGAACAGUUGGAGUAAUGAUUGGGCCCCCCAUCCAGGCGUUAAUAAAUUAUUCCUGGGAUUACCUGCAGCCCCUGAGGCAGCACCUAGUGGCGGUUACAUCCCACCUGAAGUGCUAAUUAAUCAGAUUCUUCCCGUUGUGCAGAGCUAUCCCAAGUAUGGAGGGGUCAUGCUUUGGAGCAGAUUCUAUGACCGAAACUACAGUCCAGCAAUCAGGCCUUAUGUUAACGGUGAUCCUCUGACUUAUACAACCAAGUCCGUGAAAAAAUCCCAUGCUGUAGCAUGAGUUCCUCUCAUUAUCUGCCACGAGAUGAAAUGUAGUCCUGGCUGCUUAUGCCAGAGACCAAUCUACUAAUGAAUAAUGGGCUAUGAGUUCCCCAAUCGAUUAAAAUGUUCUGUAAAUUUCUUCCCGUUUUAAUCGCUCUUUCUCUCUCUCGAAUGAAGGGGUACAAGAUCUAGUUUGAAGAACCAGUUGCACCUUCUCUUUUUUCUUUUUCUUUUUUUUUUUUUUAAUACAACUUCUUCUAGAUAAUGAUUUUUUGAUAAUAUUCAAACCACAUUUAAAUUGAAAAAGAAAAUGUUAAUUUGCAAUUGAAGUUUGAGGAACACUAUUUCCCCUCAUAUUUCAGUGCAUUACAUGGCCAACAACCUCAGAUGAUAUGCAAAUAAACUCUUGCAUGCAUGCUCAUCAAAUUUCAUAUACAAUUUUGUAGCCUACAGAGAAGUUUACGCAUGGAUGUUUAAGUAUCAGAUAAGCUUGGGCGAAGACCAAAUUUUGUGUACUAUUGAAACAUGGAACAAGAUUUCAAUCCCAUACAUAACCUCUAAAAUCACAUACAACUAUAAUUUUUGUUUCUUGUUUUUUUUUUUUCCUUGGAUGGUAUUAAAAGGUGUACAAUCUGUCUGCCUCAGAAUCACUUCCGGUCAGUGCGAGUCACUUUGAGAGUUAUGACAAUUUCACUAACCUCCCAUCAAAUCUAGAAAACAACAAUUACCUCCCCUCUUCUUAGAUUUGGUCUAAUGAUUUCAAGGUAUUUGGUAUACAUUGCCUUCUCAUGACCCACAACAAAGGGACAGCAAUCCAAGGGCUUUCGUUUUUAUUAAUUUUUUUGGAGUACAAAUUAAUUUCUCAUUAGCAUGUUAUGAAGCAUAUGAUAUUCUUGUUCGCAACAAUUUCUUUCUACGAAAAAAAAAGAACAGAGAGAAGGGGGGAAAAAAAGACUCAACUGAUGAACAUUUAAAAUGGAAACUCAUGUCCAUCCAUAAAUUAUGACAAGCUUGGUAUCUUAAAGAGAGGCGUCCUUGGGUUUAUAUUAUUUAACCAAAAUUGGUUAAAGUAAUAAGGUUGGCUUGAUUAAAAUUAUGUUUAUCAUAAUUGGGUCAUUUCUUAAAAUAUUGGCCUUAACAAAGAUGAUCCAUUCUUGAAAUUUGCGUUCUAGUAAAGCCAUUCUUGGGCAGAUGAUGACUAAGACUCUGUUUUUUGGGCUGAAUGAAACGGACGAUGCUUCAAUUUGAGGGAAAAAAAUAGGCCUUGCAUCAUGAAAUCAGUUUAUUAUUUAGCCACCAAAUAAGUAUAUUGAAUAGUUUGGAUUUUAUAACUAAUUAUAAGUAAUUGUGUCUUAAUUUUAGCUAUAAAAGUCUUUCACUUAACUAGUUAACUUAGAACACAUAUGAUGACUUCUUCCCUUGUCUCUAAAAUUUGUGAAAUUGGGCUCACAAAGAAGAUACUAAAGAAUAACAACCUUCAUUGGGAGCCGAGUACAAUUAUUUCAAAACAGCGCGCAUUACAUUCACAAAUCUGUCAAACUUUAUCUUCCAAUGCCCAAUAAACUACUGGUAUCCAAGUCCAAGAUUGCUCCAAAAUUCUAACCCUGCCCUUUUUCACAAAAUUUCAGUUUAGUCCAAAUGGAUUCUACACUAUGGUGCAACCACACAGUACAAAGGAAAGUUAAGGGAAAGCUUAUAAACGAGUGCAUGGUACGGUCUUAAGACUUCAGCCCAGACAUACUCUUAUGUUAUGUCAUAUGUAAAGGAAAAUAACUCAAAUUUUAGGCUCUGAAUCAUAUGUGAGUAGGCCUGCUUUUCUUUUAGUGCUUUAGUUUUUUUUUUUUGGUUAAAUUAUGGAAAUUACCACCUACUCAAUAUGGUCUUUUCUAGAGCAAUUCAUGGUAAUUAUCGAGUCUGAAACUACCAAAAAUUAGUACUGCUAAAGCUAUGUUUCAUAACCCUAAAAUACACCAAAGUCCAUACAUAUUACUAGGGGACUUUAUAUGUAAAAUUUAUAUAAACAAAAUAAGAUCUCAAAAUGAAGUACUUCAUAGGUAUGAUAAAAUUUAUAUGUUUCUAUUGAGACAAUUAAGCUGAGAAGUCUUUCACAACAAAUCUCUUUGAGGACCAGUUUCCCUCUCCUCACCAUAUCUCCUUACCUACUAACCUUCGCACGUUUUACCGUCUGUCCCAAGCCCGCCUCCCUCACACUCUCUUUUAGGAGAAUAAAAUUGUUUGAGAGCGAAAGCUCCCAUAUAUCAAAAGCCAGUGCUGUUCAAAUGUGUUUUCUCUCACCAUCUCCCACAAGAAGUGCGUGUUAAUACCAAUCACCUGAAUAAUAUGAAUAUGAGAAUGAACUCCUAAUGUCAUCACAAGAAUUGGUGGUAGUUCGGCUGGAGUAUAACAGUAAUACUUGUGGUAGUUGGGUUGGGGCAGGACAUAUGCAUAGUAGCUUUUGGUAGAUGAUAAAUAUAACACCUUUACCAUUUUUGUUAACAUGGUAUAUUUAUUCUUUUUCCUCUCUAUUCGAUAUUUGUUAAUUGUUAUACACUUAUACAUAGAUAGCAAGUGAGAAAGGGUCAGGCUAGUUUCAGAUAACGUGAAUAAUGUGGUUUACUUUCACUUAGUCACUCAUCGCACAACUCCUACUUUACUUCCUAUUUUGGUGGUAAUGUUCCCCAAACAUUACUUAUUGAGUAAUAGAUAAAAUUUAAUCAUGGCAAGAGCAUUUUUUUUUCGGACAUGAUAAAUCUACUCUACUCUAUACUAUGGGGAGGGGGUGAUCCAACGGGCCCAAGGGGAGGAUCCGGGGGGACUGAACUUGGGUGCCUACUAGUGUGAAUAAGUUAGAAAAUAUUUCUCAACACCCACUACCCUUAGGGGCUAGUAGUUGAGGCAAGGUCAAGUUAGUAUUUCACCAAGAAUUUGAUUUCUAACUACCAAGUUAAUAACUAAACAAUGUUUGUGUUUGGAUUACACAUUAUUUCCACCUUAUUUACACACACUGACUUGCUUAUAUCACCAACACAUUUUUUAAUCAUAUUUUUAUCUCACAUACAUCACAUCAAAAAAGUGUUACAGUAUUUUUUCACAAAAUUAUCUCAAAUAAGUUACUAUCCAAAUUGCUUAUGAUAAAAUAUUCCAUCUUCACCAAUUUUUUUUAGAAAGGGUUUUUCUUUGCCUUAUGACCAGAAGAAAAGAGCUCCAACCUGUUCUACCAGUAUGGAGCCAACCCCUUCGUUUCGUCAUGUCCCUAACUUAACUAGAUUGACCGGGGCACAAAGAGUUUACACUAGGGCUUCUAGUUCACAUGUUCUCUUUGCAAUCAUAGCCUUCUUGUCUCCAUCGGUUCCUUAGAAAUAGUCUUAUUGAUUUACUAGAAAUACACCCACUCAGGAAAGCCCGACUAAUCGCGGCAGGAGCCAUACUUAAAAGUAGCCGGUGGUGUUUCUAUGAUCAUAUACGUAAUUAUGGAGUAUUGAGUUAUGAGCUUGAGGGAACUCCAAUUAUUAAACAACGAGUGAAGGGACUAUCGGGUGAUAGGCCCAAACGGUAGUCUUAAUCUCCUCUUAAAGUCUAUUUAAGAGUCCUUGAAUGCACAACACUCCUAUAAAUCAUAUAAUCUAUUCCUUAUAUCUUUUACAGCUGCUUAAGGAAGUCUUUAUUCUCCCCCCGAGAGGGAUUAAGAGGGGGGGGGGGGGUAGUGGUCCAAUCUUGUCUUUUCAUUAGAGCUUUUUUUGUUUUUCUCUUAUUUAAAGUAUACCACAUUAGAGAAAGAGAAAACUCCCUCUAAAGGGCUUCUUUCUUGUAGGAUCCUAUAAGUCUCAUACUAACCCCUUAUAGCUGUAAGCUAUUAGCUCCCCUCUCCCUUUACUGGGCAGAUUAUCACUAGCCGCUGGGCGAGGGCCUCACUCUGCUAGUUUUCCACCUAGUAGGGUAUGGAGCUCUAUUCUUCAGAUUCAGUCUCCAAGGCCGCUACGAAGCUCUAGGAGGGCUUUCUAGUGUAUGCCUUGACUAUUUGAACCUCAUAAAACACAAGAAACUGAAAGAAAAAUAUUUACGCAGCGGAAUGAGCAAACAAUUUUUGCUUUUUCUUUCAUUCGAUGUUAUUGCUCGAAUCUGCAAAUUGAUACAGGCCUUGAUAUUUCAAAAACCAAUAAGUACUUACUUGUUUGGACGUGUAUGCAAUGCCCUCUGCUAGUUUUCCACCUAGUAGGGUAUGGAGCUCUAUUCUUCAGAUUCAGUCUCCAAGGCCGCUACGAAGCUCUAGGAGGGCUUUCUAGUGUAUGCCUUGACUAUUUGAACCUCAUAAAACACAAGAAACUGAAAGAAAAAUAUUUACGCAGCGGAAUGAGCAAACAAUUUUUGCUUUUUCUUUCAUUCGAUGUUAUUGCUCGAAUCUGCAAAUUGAUACAGGCCUUGAUAUUUCAAAAACCAAUAAGUACUUACUUGUUUGGACGUGUAUGCAAUGCCUGAUACAGAUGCUUGAAUUCCAGCAAUUAGCCUUCCACACGUUAGGCCUCUAGUUCGUCCACACAGACUCAAAACUAAUAGAUUGCUGAAUAUUGGAGUUUUUGUUUUGGUGGUGAUGAAAACAACGGUAGUCAACCACUUUUGUCAAUAGGGCAUAUAUAUAUAUAUUUACGAUUGUUUUUGAUUAGAUCAAUAUCAGAUCAAUAUCUUAUUUGAUCAAAUCAAAACAACCGGUUUAUAUAUAUAUUUUAUUCUUAUUUUGAUCAAAUCAAAAUAGAAUACAUCUAAUACCAUUAUUUAACUCACGUUUUAGUUUUUGAUCUUAUCAAAAUAUAAACAUAAUUAAUAUAAUUAUAUUAACUAUUAUUUUCAUCUUUAUGAUACUUGAGUCAUACUCAAAUACUAACUCCAAAUUCCGUCUAGCUUGGGUUUCAAGAUGUGCUAGCAUCCUUAUCAAAAUAAAAACCCAUUCUAAACAACUUCCCUAUUAAUUCAAAUCCUUUUGUGUGUGACUAUCUAGGUUCAUUACCCAGUUGGCAAUGCAAUAAACGUUAGCCUAUUAACAUUAGUUAGAACAUUUCUAACACUUGAGAAGUUCUCCAAAUAUACCUCAAGUUAACAUAGUUCAUGAGUGAUGCCUAGCAGCAUAUCAUGACACCCAACCGGUGAUGAAAGAUUGGAAUCCUUUUAUGUGAACCAUGAUUGCAAUUGUUUUGCAUAAAAAACCUUCCAUUACUAUAUCCCUAUUGAGUUCAGUUUAGUAAUAAUGUCAAACUCUAAAACUCAAUCGUAUGUCUUAAUCUAUCAAAUUACUUGACUAUAAAAUUGAUCAUCUACAUGAAUCAAUUUGUCUUGGCCAAGAACUCCUUUAGUCAAGAUCGAUAGAUUUCAUAAGAUAUCAAACCAUUCAUGAUGGAAUAAUAGAUCCCUUUUGCAUAAUCACUUGGCUCCAUGCAUAACUAAUUAGAGGUACCAUAUGCUAAUACUCAUCCGUGAUUAGAACAAGUAUUUUCAGCAUUGAUAGACUUUAACCACCCAUGAAUGAGCCAAUCGUGUUAUCUCAGGUCUAAGGAUCACAUGCACCAUUGCAAUCAAUAAUGAAUCAUUGACAUUAAUAAGCUAAUGAUUCAUUAUUUAAUUAGUCAGUGUUCAAGCCAACUUGUCACACAAGUGCCUCUCAUAUUUAUUCUAGUAUCACAUACUUAAUGGUAUGAGACUCGCCAUUCUAUUAUCAUUAAUAUCCCAUAUUAAUCAUAGAGGAUAAAUAUGAGACUAAUCUUCCGGAUUAAACUUGCCCAAUUAAUAAUCCUAUGAUUAGGAACAAUUUAAUAUUAUUUGUACCAAGUUUUUCCGUUACUCAUAUUCUCAUCACAUGAGAAUGGAACCUUAACAAAUAAUAAGGGACAACAUUCAAUCAAAUCUAAACCAAGAAUAAUUGAAUCAAGAAGUGCCAUUUUAUUUUAAUCAAGACAAUAAUUAUUAAUACUCUAGGGCAUACUGCUAACAGGCUCCCACUUGCACUAGAGCCAUUCAAUACAAUAUUUGAGUCCCAUCUUCUCAAGAUGGUGAUCUAACUGUCGUUGUGUCAUGGCCUUAGUAAGCGGAUCAGCUACGUUAUCAGCUGAAGCUAUCUUGUGCACGGUGACAUCACCUCUUCCGAUUAUCUCUCGGAUAAUAUGGAAACGACGCUCAAUAUGUUUGGACUUCUGGUGAGACCUCGGUUCCUUAGCCUGAGCUAUUGCACCAUUAUUGUCACAGUAGAGAGGUACCGGCAAUUCAAUGGUAGGAACCACUCCUAGUUCUGUGACAAACUUUCUCAUCCAAACAGCUUCCUUUGCUGCAUUUGAUGCAGCAAUGUACUCAGCUUCCGUAGUAGAAUCAGCAGUCGUAUCUUGUUUGGAACUUUUCCAACUCACUGCUCCUCCAUUACAGAGAAAAAUGAACCCAGAGAUAGAUUUUCUAUCAUCUACAUCUGAUUGAAAAUCAGAAUCUGUAAAACCAUCUAGUCUUAAAUCACCUCCUCCGUAAGUCAAGAUCAUAUCUUUAGUCCUUCUUAAGUACUUAAAGAUUGCCUUGACUGCACCCCAGUGUUCUAAACCUGGAUUAGACUGAAACCUGCUAGUAACACUAACAGCGUAAGCUAUGUCUGGUCUUGUACACAACAUUGCAUACAUUAGACUUCCAAUUGCCGAAGCAUAUGGAAUCUUAGCCAUUCUUUCUCUAUCUUCAGAUGUCUGAGGUGACAUCUUUUUCGAUAGGUGAAUGCCAUGUCUAGCAGGUAACAGUCCUUUCUUAGAUUCAAGCAUAUUGAAUUUUUUCAAUAUCUUGUUUAUAUAAAGACUUUGGGAUAACCCUAUAGUUCUUUUCGCUCUAUCUCUAUAGAUACGAAUUCCUAGAAUAUAGGUCGCUUCUCCCAAAUCCUUCAUAGAGAAGGUGCUUGAUAACCAUAAUUUUACAGAACUAAGCAUCCCUAUGUCAUUGCCCAAUAAUAAGAUGUCGUCAACAUACAAAAUUAGGAAAGUGACUGCACUCCCACUGACCCUUUUGUAAACACACGGUUCAUCCUCAUUUCUAAUGAAACCAAACGUUUUGAUUGCAUCAUCAAAUCGGAUAUUCCAAUUCCUCGAAGCUUGCUUAAGACCAUAGAUGGAUCUCUUAAGCUUGCACACUUUAUGUUGCUCACCCUCAGAUACAAAACCUUUGGGCUGAUCCAUAUAAACGUUUUCCUCAAUGUAACCAUUAAGAAAAGCUGUCUUGACGUCCAUCUGCCAGAUUUCAUAGUCAAGGUACGCUGCUAUGGCUAAUAGAAUCCUAAUAGAUUUGAGCAUGGCUACAGGCGAGAAAGUCUCCUCAUAGUCUAUUCCCUGCCUUUGGCGAUACCCUUUCGCCACUAGCCUAGCUUUGAAGGUUUCGACCUUGCCAUCAGAACCAAUCUUUCUCUUAUAGACCCAUUUGUUCCCUAUAGGUAUUAUACCUUCGGGUGGCUCCACAAGUUCCCAGACUUGGUUUGUGUACAUCGAAUCCAUUUCAGAUUUCAUAGCUUCUAGCCAUUUUGAGGAAUCUAUAUCAGAUAUAGCUUCUUCGUAAGUAGUAGGAUCAUCUGUAUGAUCAGUGUCUCCAUGUAUGAACAAUUCUUGCAUAUUCUCAUGGAGAUACCCGUACCUUUGAGUAGGACGAGACACUCUACUAGAUCGUCGAGGCUCUUGUGUUGUGACAUUGUUAUCAAUGGACAUUGGCUCUUUACCAGGCACAUCAUUCCUUUCCUGAUCAUUUUGUUGCUCAUGUGAAAUUUCAUUAAGCUCUAUCCUCCUUCCAGCAGCACCUUCUUGAAUAAAUUCUUUUUCAAGGAAGGUAGCAUUUCUACUGAUGACAACAAUUUGUUCAUCUGGAAGAUAAAAUUGAUAUCCAAUACAAUCCUUUGGAUAUCCAACAAAAUGACCUUUGACAGAUCUUGAUUCCAACUUGUCUGUCUUUAGUUUCCUGAUAUGAGCAGGACAACCAAAAAUUUUAACAUGAUUAAGGCUUGGCUUUCUUCCAGUCCACAUCUCAUAUGGAGUGGUAGGGACGGACUUAGAUGGUACUCUAUUGAGUAUAUAACAUGCUGUAAGAAGUGCAUAAUUCCAAAAUGAAAUAGGGAUAUCAGUAUAGCUCAUCAUGGAGCGAACCAUGUCCAUAUAGGUACGGUUCCUCCUUUCAGAUACGCCAUUCAAUUGUGGCGUUCUUGGAGGAGUAAGUUGAGAAAUAAUACCUUGAUCUUUAAGGUAUUCCCUGAACCCAGUGUCUAAGUAUUCACCUCCUCGAUCUGAUCGGAGAGUUUUAAUACUCUUACCAAGCUGAUUUUCUACUUCAGCCUUGAACUCUUUGAAUUUUUCAAAGCAUUCAUGCUUGUACUUCAUUAAGUACACAUAACCAUACCGAGAGUAAUCAUCAGUAAAAGUUAUGAAGUAAAUAAAUCCUCCUCUAGCCACUUUGGCAAAUGGCCCACAUACAUCACUAUGUAUGAUUUCUAGAACAUCACUGGCUCUUAUACUUUGUCCCACAAAAGGCAACCGAGUCAUUUUGCCUUGAAUACAAGGUUCACAAGUUGGAUAGGGUUCAGAACCCAUGGGUUUGAGUAAUCCCAUUUUCUCCAUCUUUGAAAUUCUGUCUCCUGCGAUGUGACCCAGUCUAAGAUGCCAAAGAUGUUUUUGAUUGAGGUUAAGUUUAGUCACUACGUUUAAAUUCUCAAACUUAGUUCCAUCUUUAUCAUCAGACAUGUGGUAUAAACCAUUUUUCUUGUAUGCCAAACCAAUACAAUCAGUAUUGUAAUAAAUCCUACAAAUAUUGCCUUUGAAUAAAAAUUCAUAUCCCACAUCAGUCAAAACCGAAAUAGAAAUAAUAUUCGUAAAAGUGUUUGGCAGACAUAAAACAUUGUUUAGGAAUAAAACAUGUCCUGAAGAUAAAGCUAAAGAAGUAGAUCCUAUAGCAGUAGCAGCAACUGUUGCUCCAUUUCCGACCUUUAGGAUCACCUCGUCCUUCCCAAGGACUCUACUUUUGGUUAGUUCCUGCAAAGAUGCACAAACAUGAUAUGAUGCACCUGAGUCAAGAACCCAAGAAGUAGAAUGAGAGCUAACUGUACACAGAGGAUUGAGGAAACAUGAAAUGGUACUACCUUCAUUUGUCUUUCCUUUUCCCUUGUCCUUUAUCGACUCAAGGUACUUAGGACAAUUCCUCUUCCAAUGUCCUUCCAUUUGGCAGUGGAAACAUUUUGCACCAACCUUGAAGUUGCCCUUCUUUUUAGAGAUACCUCCUGUAGGCUUAGGAUGAGAAGAUUUAAUUGAUUUCUUCUUCUUCUUUUUGGACUCUCCAGAAGAAGAAGCAAUCAUUAAAGCCGCUUCCUUUCCGUUUCCUUUCAUCGUAGACUGAGCAGUAACAAGAUGGUUAUGAAGUUCUGAAAGCGAUACCUCAAUCUUGUUCAAGUGAAAAUUUACAAUGAAUUGGGCAAAGGAAUCUGGUAGAGACUGCAAAAUCAAGUCUGUCUGAAGGUGAGCAUCCAUGGAAAAAUCCAAGUUUUCAAGACGCUCAAUCAUAUUGAUCAUCUUGAGAACAUGAACUGACGCAUCAGCUCCUUCAGUCAGACGAGUCCUAAACAACUCCUUAGAUAUCUCAUAUCGGGCAGUUCUGGAUUGUUCACCAUACAAUUCUUGUAGGUGAAGCAAAAUAUCUUUUGCGGUCCCCAUCUUUUCAUGCUGCCUUUGCAAUUCAUUGUUCAUAGACGCUAGCAUGUAGCACCUAGUUUGCAUGUCAUCCUCCUCCCACUUUCUAAAAGUGGUUUGUUGCGGCUCAGUCGCCCCUUCAGGCAAGGGAUUAGGAACUGGAGUCUCUAAAAUAUAUCCAAUUUUUUCGGAAUUAAGAACAAUUCUUAGAUUCCUCAGCCAAUCAGUGAAAUUGGGCCCAGUGAGUGUAUUUUUUUCAAGGAUAGUUGAGAGAGGGUUCAUGGGUGCCAUAAUAUCCAAAUAUUAGAAACUGCAGAAGAUAAUAAAAUUGAUUAGCAAUUAUCCUGAUAGAUCCAAUUUGUUUUUGGCCUUUAAAACAAACUGGUCCUCCCACUAAAUUUUUCGAAUGUCAUACUUCCAAAAUGAUAAACAGAAAUCUUUAAAUGAUCUCUAGUGGGAGAUGGGAUUCUUAUAAAAUGUUUAAUAUACCUCAGGUGAUCCCUAUAUUGGUAUAAUAAUAUUUUGUAAGUGACAACUCUUUGUCAAUACAUCUCAUGUAUACCCCAACCGAGACUUGGCUCCUAAUACUUAAGACCUCAGGCGUAUCCAAUCUUGGUCCAUCAUAUUAGUUAAAUUAAAUCCACUAGACAGUAGGCAAGAUAAUUUGAAUAUUAAUUACCUCAGGCGUUUCCUAUCUUGAUAAUUAAUAUAUUAUCCUACCCACAACAUCACAUGCUUUAUAAAAUCUACAAGAAUAUCCCUUACAUCUUUAUACUACCCCAUGUGUCCACAGCCAAUAGUACAAAUUGUAAAAUAUUCUGUAGAUCUUAAUCCAGUGGAGGGCCAUGAUACAAUAUCAUAAAGUAGGUGGAUUUUCUGGUCUAAUUAUUUCGAGGUAACACUGUGUUCAUCAAAAUCCUUUUGAUGAACGUGCAUCACAUACAUAUGUCAAAAGCGAAUAAAUAAACUCAGAUAAUCAUGGAUAACAACAACCAAAAAAAAAACAACUGAAUUAGUCUUCCUGAGCCCAUGAUUAUCCUUCAUGCCAUGUAUCAAAAAUGAAAAAUUAAAUAUUUCAUAUUAAAUAAGGAAUGCUAACAUUUAUUGAAACUAUUCCAUUUAAUGCUAACCGUUUUAAUUUCAUUGCCUUUCAAAAUUAAAUCACUAACAUUUAGAUAAUUAAUUUUGAACAAAAGAUUGCUUUCAAUAAUUAAGAUUCUUAACGUUUUAAGAAUACUUAAUUAUUAGAAGGAAACCUUUUGAAAUAUAAUCUUAACCCAUUUAAGAUAAGUCCGAAACUGAAACAAUAUGAAGCCUUUGUUUAGCACCAUGGCCGAGACAGCAACUAUUGCAAUCAGCCUUCCAAUGAAACAAAUAUAAUCAAUUGCAAAUUCGAAGCAAGGUGGCUCUGAUACCACUGAAAGAAAAAUAUUUACGCAGCGGAAUGAGCAAACAAUUUUUGCUUUUUCUUUCAUUCGAUGUUAUUGCUCGAAUCUGCAAAUUGAUACAGGCCUUGAUAUUUCAAAAACCAAUAAGUACUUACUUGUUUGGACGUGUAUGCAAUGCCUGAUACAGAUGCUUGAAUUCCAGCAAUUAGCCUUCCACACGUUAGGCCUCUAGUUCGUCCACACAGACUCAAAACUAAUAGAUUGCUGAAUAUUGGAGUUUUUGUUUUGGUGGUGAUGAAAACAACGGUAGUCAACCACUUUUGUCAAUAGGGCAUAUAUAUAUAUAUUUACGAUUGUUUUUGAUUAGAUCAAUAUCAGAUCAAUAUCUUAUUUGAUCAAAUCAAAACAACCGGUUUAUAUAUAUAUUUUAUUCUUAUUUUGAUCAAAUCAAAAUAGAAUACAUCUAAUACCAUUAUUUAACUCACGUUUUAGUUUUUGAUCUUAUCAAAAUAUAAACAUAAUUAAUAUAAUUAUAUUAACUAUUAUUUUCAUCUUUAUGAUACUUGAGUCAUACUCAAAUACUAACUCCAAAUUCCGUCUAGCUUGGGUUUCAAGAUGUGCUAGCAUCCUUAUCAAAAUAAAAACCCAUUCUAAACAACUUCCCUAUUAAUUCAAAUCCUUUUGUGUGUGACUAUCUAGGUUCAUUACCCAGUUGGCAAUGCAAUAAACGUUAGCCUAUUAACAUUAGUUAGAACAUUUCUAACACUUGAGAAGUUCUCCAAAUAUACCUCAAGUUAACAUAGUUCAUGAGUGAUGCCUAGCAGCAUAUCAUGACACCCAACCGGUGAUGAAAGAUUGGAAUCCUUUUAUGUGAACCAUGAUUGCAAUUGUUUUGCAUAAAAAACCUUCCAUUACUAUAUCCCUAUUGAGUUCAGUUUAGUAAUAAUGUCAAACUCUAAAACUCAAUCGUAUGUCUUAAUCUAUCAAAUUACUUGACUAUAAAAUUGAUCAUCUACAUGAAUCAAUUUGUCUUGGCCAAGAACUCCUUUAGUCAAGAUCGAUAGAUUUCAUAAGAUAUCAAACCAUUCAUGAUGGAAUAAUAGAUCCCUUUUGCAUAAUCACUUGGCUCCAUGCAUAACUAAUUAGAGGUACCAUAUGCUAAUACUCAUCCGUGAUUAGAACAAGUAUUUUCAGCAUUGAUAGACUUUAACCACCCAUGAAUGAGCCAAUCGUGUUAUCUCAGGUCUAAGGAUCACAUGCACCAUUGCAAUCAAUAAUGAAUCAUUGACAUUAAUAAGCUAAUGAUUCAUUAUUUAAUUAGUCAGUGUUCAAGCCAACUUGUCACACAAGUGCCUCUCAUAUUUAUUCUAGUAUCACAUACUUAAUGGUAUGAGACUCGCCAUUCUAUUAUCAUUAAUAUCCCAUAUUAAUCAUAGAGGAUAAAUAUGAGACUAAUCUUCCGGAUUAAACUUGCCCAAUUAAUAAUCCUAUGAUUAGGAACAAUUUAAUAUUAUUUGUACCAAGUUUUUCCGUUACUCAUAUUCUCAUCACAUGAGAAUGGAACCUUAACAAAUAAUAAGGGACAACAUUCAAUCAAAUCUAAACCAAGAAUAAUUGAAUCAAGAAGUGCCAUUUUAUUUUAAUCAAGACAAUAAUUAUUAAUGCUCUAGGGCAUACUGCUAACAGAAAUAACAAGAAGCAAGCGAAAGAAGGAAUCCUUGGGUAAGAAUUCCGAUUGAAGCAAUAAGGAAAGUGCGGCUUUUGUUCACCUAUCAUUCUCCGAUGCGACCAAGCAACUCCCUUAGAAUAUCUUCCCUUCGAACAGCGCGACCCGCCUAUUCAACUACAAUAUGAAUUCCUCUUGCCGUUGUUGCUCUUCUUGCCCCUUUAGUGGUGAUCCUUGGAUGAGGAGCAUAAACGAGCCUUAAGAGUGCAUUAGGAGGUCUUGUUGCCUGUGCUCAAGACAUAUUUUAACACAACUACAUUCCACCCAACCUGCUAUGUAUAUACACACACUAGUAAUUACUAUUUUUUCCUACAUUUAUACACUUUUCCUAAUUAAUCUCUUUGCAUUUAUAAUCUUUUCCUAAUUAAUCUUAUAUUUUUAAAAAUCUAACACGUGAAAUACAUCUUAACAAAUAUCUUAUAUAUACCCAUUAGAUAGACCAUUUUAGAAAAAUAUCUUUGUUAGAAAUAUUGGCGGGUUUCAAACUAACUAUCUAAUGUAUCCUUAAUUUAUUCUAAUUGAUCCUUCAUGAUGAUAUAUAUAAACACCCACCCACCGCCCCCCCCCCCCUUCUCCCGGGUUCCUCCUCAAAGUCAAGGCAGUUGCGAAGAAACCAUUUUGAGUUUGUCAAGAAGAUCAUUGAAACGGUUGGGAGGAAGAGGUUUGGUGAAGAUAUCUGCAAGUUGAUCCAUAGAAGAUACAGAGUGGAUGAUCUCGCCGGGGCACUUUACGGGAUAUAGCACAGCAGAUCUAGAGAAAGGUUUACUCAUCUGCAGCACCACAAUGUUUUCUUCUUGACUAUUAUCCUGACGCUGCUAUCAGAACUGGCCUCUUUCAUUAUGUGUGGGUACAAUUUUACAACAAUCCGCCUUGUCAAUGUAGUGCUGGCAAUACCAAUAACUUCUUCGACAGUUGGAAUCCAGGGGCUUCAUAUACAGGCGUUAAUACAUUAUUCCUGGGAUUACCUGCAGCCCCUGAGGCAGCACCUAGUGGCAGCUACAUCACACCUCAAGAGCUAAUUGAUCAAGUUCUACCCUUUGUCGAGAGCUAUUCCAACCACAGAGAGCUCAUGCUUUGGAGCAAAUACUUUGAAGCUAAUUGCAAUGAAAUAAUCAGGCCUUAUGUUAACUCUGAUGUCCUGGUUCAUGGCAAAAAGUCCACGAUAAAGUCCCAUGCUCUCGAAUAAUUGAGUUGCUCUCAUUAACACUUGAUGGAUGAAAUGCAGUCCUGGUUGUUUUUGCCAUAUAGAUAAAUAAUGGGUAAUAAGUUCCCCAGCUAUGGAGGCGUCAGAUACUGGGAUGUGUCUAUUACAGUCCAGCAAUCGAGCCUUAUGUUAAACCAUGAAAACUCUGACCAGUGAUAACAAGGCCAUGGGAGUCUUCUGCCACUGAAUAAGUUCCUCUGAUCACUAUUUCAUGAGAGAUGAAAUGUAAUCCUGGUUGUUUAUGCUAGAGAUAGAUGUGAUAAAUAAAUAACGGGUUAUGAUCCCCAAGUUUAAUUGCGUAUUCUCUUGAUUUAACGGUUAGAAAAUCCGCAAAAAUCACAAAUUACUGAAUACUAGUUUGGACAACCAUGCCAGUUGCACCUCCAUUUUGCAAUGUAUAUCUCUUAAAAUUGGGAAGUAAUUACAUUUUCGGUUUGCAACUCCAUUAAAAUUUGACCAAACGAACCUGUGGUUUGAUCAAAUUAUCCCCUUAUGAGUUAUGGCUUCCAAAACCAACUAACGGAAGUGGAGAAAUGUUAGAACUACCAUCUACAGAAGAUUACAUUUAUCUCCCUUGAAAUUUAUCUAAAUAAAAAAAAGGGUCAUUAAAAUGUGAACCGAAUGCAAUUUAACCCUUAAAAUAGCCAACUGUUUAUAAAAAUAAAAAUCCCUUAAUAUUAUCAAAAGAAUAAAACCCAAAUUAAGAUAAAAUUAUCAAUUACUAUCUUCCAAGAAAUGAAAAAUGAAAGGAAAAAAAUUGAGAAAAUGUCUUUCUUUCUCGUCUUUAUCUACAUAUGGCUUAUUUUAGCCACUAAAAAACACUCUCUCUCCUUUUAACAAUUAUGCAUUUCAUUUGCAUAUCCAAUUAGGAAGAUACUAAUAUUAAGUUUAAAUAAAACUCUCGUUAAGCCAGAAAACCUUCGCUUGGCCCAUUCGAUAAUAAAUUCUUGUCCUUUAUUCCAGACAAGUGCCUUUAUUAGAUUUUCACUUUUGAUUUUCAAUUUGGUGUCUUUACGAAAGAAAAAUCCUAAAUUUUCAUGCUUAGAGAUGUAUGCAAAUUUAACAGUUUAUUUUAUGUUUUAGGAAACAAAGUUUUAUUAUUUGCGCAUGGAAGUCAAAAACGAUAUUUGAUAUCAAUUAUGUAAUAGUGGUGGUCAAGGAAACUGCAUCGACUGAAACACUUUUGUUAGUGAUGCCACGUGAUUAGAGUUUCAAUUACACUAAUUUUAAGAUGAAAGAAUCAUUGGAAAAAUAUAUAGUAAUUAAUGGGUAUUUUUAUAAACUCAAAAAUUCUGAUGUGAUUAAGUAUUAGCAAAUAUUUCUUUAAUAAAUGUUUGCGAGAAUUGCAGUUUUGGUCUCUAAUGUUUGGCGUGUGUACCAAAUUAGUCCUCAAUGUUUUAGCUAAAACAAAUCUAGUCCCAAAAAUUUGUGAUUUUCGGUAGAUUUAGGACAAUAAAUGGAAAUGAAACAAUGGCUAACAGUCAAUAUCAAAUUACUGUUAGUCAACAAGUUUAACCUUUUGAUUCCCAAUGUUUUGAUUUUGAAUCAUUAUAUUUUUCUAAUUUUUUAAAUAUUGGUAUUAAGGGUUUUGGCAUGAAUUGAGAUGCAAAUUAGAAUGAAAUAGUAUUAAAUAUGUAAUAAUAAUUUUAAUUAAAAAUAUAUUACUUCUUUUUUAAUAUUUAUUUCAUUUAUUCAUGCUAAUAAUUAUAUAUAAUUGUUUCUCGCUUGAAUAAUUAAUUUAUAAUGAGUUUUAUUAUUUUUAUUUCUAAUAACAAUUAAACAACUUUAUUAAAUAUUCCUUUAAAACACAAGAAAUAUAUUUUUUGUAAAAUAAGUUGAUCUUUUUUGGCAUUUUAAUAGGUUAUCAAUUGAGUUUGAAAUAAAGUUGACAUUUUAUACACGUUAUAUGAACCACUAGAUGAUUGUCAAGAUACAUAGAUACUAAAAUAAAUGAUUUAAAACUACAAUAUUGAAAUGUUAGAUUUUAAUGGUAGUAAAGAAAAUAAAAAUAAAAGAUAAUUUUCUUAGGAUUUGCUAAAAUUAUUUAAUAUUGAUGCUUAACUUUACUAGUUUUUAUAAAUACAACGGAUAACUCUAAGAAUUUGAAGCAUACAUGCACAAGACAUGCAACAAUUUUUGUAGUAAUAACUAUAAUAAAUUUAGAUUAUAAAACUGAAAUUCUCCUUUUCUUCCUCUACUUUAUGUUUUAUUUAUUAUUGGUAUAUUAUCAUCCAAUUAAAUUUAUUUAAUAAAGAUAGGCAAUUAUCAACUUAUGCCAUUAUGAUUUGUUUCAAUUAAUAGUGAGAAAUAAUAUAUAUACAUAUAUUAUACAAGAUUUGAGACUAGAAAUGCAAAAAAAAAAAACAUAUGAGAUAUUAUUAGUAUGAAUAAAUGAAAUAAAAAUAAAAGGGAAGGAAAAAAAGUUUAAUUAGAAUUUUUGUUACCCAUUUAAUACUAUUUCAUUCUAAUUUGCAUCUCAAUUCAUACUAAAAUUCUUAAUAUCAUUAUUUAAAAAUUAGAAAAAUAUAAUCAUUCAAAGUCAAAAUACUAAGGACCAAAAGUGCAAAGUCAAAGUUGUUGACUAAUGACAAUUUGAUAUUGAUCGUUAGUCAUUGUUCUAUUUCCAUUAGUUAUGCUAAAUCUAACUAAAAUCGCACACUUUCGGGACAGAAUUUGUUUUGGCCAAAACAUGCAUUAGGGACAAAUUUGGCAUACAAGCAAAACAUUAGGGACCAAAAUUAUAAUUCUCCAUAAAUGUUUGGCUAGUAAAACAUUGGAUUGAUUUGGAAAAACUAAAGGGUUCAUUUUUGUUAUUUGGACAAACUUCAAGAGAGGCAAAUGCAAUUUGAACAAACUUUAGGAUAGGUAAGUGCAAUUAACUCAAUUUACAAAAGGUUAGUUUGGGGGCUUUUAGACAUAUAUUUUAGUGAUGCAAGCAUCAUUUCAAUCAACAAUUAGCGUGAGGGGCGCAAUUGAUAAACAUUUUGUCAGUCAGGGGAUUUGACUAUAAUCUGGUCAAACUGCAAGAUAAAUUUUGUACUUUGACACCUCGAGAAAGUAGGUGUAAUUAACCUUAAAAAAACCGAGUGUUCUUAUUGUCCGAAUAUUAUCCAAAUGAGAUAGCACUAUCUCAAGAAAAAUACAUGUAUCCAUUCUUAUACCUUCACCUAUGUAUCCACUUUUGACUUAUAAUUAAAGGUAACAUGGCUUGUUUUAACCUAUUGAUUGUACCCUCCACCUAUCUCUCUCUUUUCAUUUCUUUCUGUUUCUCUUCUUCCAACCAACCUCUCCAAUCCUUCUUUCAGCCCACCCAAGUUCUCAUGAUGAACACUCUUCCCAUGCACCAUGCCUCUACCCUAAUCCAAAUAUUUACAAGUAGUGGCAGAACCAGAAUCCUAGACUCAGCAAGGCCAAAUUAGAUUAGCAUAAAAAUUGAAGUAUUAAUAGAGUUUGAAAUCAAAAAACACUUCUAUCUUAAAAGUUCAUUUUUUCUAUGUUAAAUACACUUUUAAAAAUAAUUUGCGUUAAAUUUUGCAAUGAAAAUUACAUUUAAAUUUACAUCUAUAUUUAACUUUUGGUAGGUUUAAUACUCUUGUGAAGGAUAACAAUUAUGGAAUUUUAAUUAUUUAGGGGGCAAUGUAUGAUAGUAAAGAGAAUUCUAAAAAUUUUAGGGAGGACAAAUAAGAAACAAUUUUGAAAAUUUCUAAACAUAAAAUAUAAUUUUCUCAAAAAUUGCACCCCCUCAGCAGUAUGUGGCUUUGCCAUUGUUUAAUUACAAGCUUUCCUUCCUCCCUAUUUUCCUAUAUUGUGUUUACAUUUUUGAAGUACUUGUAUAUUUCAUAUAUAUCACAUUGCAAAAACUACAACAUUAUAAUUCUAAAAAAAUUUAAACUAUAUGUUUCCAAACGCAGCCUUGACUUUUAGUUAUUGAGUCUUAGUUUGAAUAUGAAGUCAACAGUUUCACUUUGUCUCAACGCACCUAUAGGAUUUAAGUAUAGGUUUUGAAACCGUAGGAGACUUUUGUGUCUUGUCCAUGAACAACAGGAGGAUAAAGUUAAUUCACCUCUUUUUUUUAAAAAAAAGAUAGAAGACUAUGCUAAUAUUUAUAUUUUUAUUGUGAGUCAGGGUAUUUUUCAAAGAUAAUUUUAUUUAAUUGGGUUAACAUUUCUAGGCAUUGAGAAGGGUUAAGAAAUCAUAAAAUUGUAAGUUAAUUGUAAAAAAUAAUAGUAGGAAUGAAAUGCCAAAAAUGACUAUAGUUUAGCCAAACCACAAGGUAGAUUUUGUAAUUUGACCAAACCUCGCGGGUAGAUUUUUUUUUUUUGGGAUAAAUCAGGGGUAGAUUUUAUUGUCCGACUAUUAUAAUUUAUAAUGGACCAGAGUAGAGAUUAGUUGUUACAUUUCCAACUUUUUUGCAUGGUCACACAUUUCCGACUAUUAUAACCUCAGGUGUUUUUUUUUCCUUUCUCAUUUUGGAUUAAUCUUCAAUAGAGGAAACAACUUUCUGGCUUGAUAAAUAUGUUAUGAAAAUAGAUUUUUUAAAUUAAAUAGGGACUACUUGUCCUGUAUUCAGAUAUGCCAUUGUAAUAGAACUUUGGUAUACUUAGAUAGUAUAUUAUUUAGGAUAAUUUUUUGACAAAAAUAUUGUGUUGACCUUGGUCGAUCAAUCCUUGGUUUUGAUGAUUAACAAACCAAAAUAUAGAUUUGGGCUAAUGUUUUUAUGUGAGUAAUUUGUUAGAAUAGAUUCUUGUGGCAUAAAAGAAGAAGCAAAAACAGGGCACUCAUGUCGGACGCUAUCGGAUGUCCGAAAGGAUGAAGAACAUCAAGAAGGAAACUCUGUCGGACGCUCAUGAGGAAGCAUGGGACGUCCGGAAGGAUCGGACGCACGCCUCGGACGCACAUCGAUCGCAUCGGACGUCCGAGAAAUUUCGCAAAGAUUUGAUGACUCUCUGACGACGUUCGGACGCAGGGUUCGGACGUCCGACAGGUGGUUUGGACGCAGGGUUCGGACGUUCGACAGGUGGUUCGGACGUCCGACAGACCAACGGCUAGUUUUGACAGCAUUUAAUAUUUGACCGUUGGAGAGCCUUUUGGAGUCAUUUCUCACCUUCUAUAAAAACCCCAAAGCACAAGAAGACAAGAGACUUUUGCCAACACAAAAUACAAGCUUACAAGUGAGAUUUUUGAGUAGAAAGAUUCUUUGUUGGUUGUAUAAGGUUGGGAAAGUUGGGUUGUGAGGUUGCUCAAGUGAAGGUUACUCUCUAGGAGGAGUAAAACCUUGGUGAAGAUAAACCUAUCACUUGGAGUGGUAAAACCUUGGUGAAGGUUGCCUCAUGUGUAUAAAAUAGUUCUUAAUUGGGUGAGUGAUCUUUCAAGUGUAGGUUGUUGAGGGUUAACUAGUAUAGUUGUAAAACUCCUUGGCUCAACCAAAGAGUGUUUGGGGUGAGGAAGGAGUGAGCCUUCACUUGUACAUCUUGGUUAGCAUCGCCAUCUAUUGAAGAGGCUAUUGGAUUGAUAUUUGGUUUGCAUUUUUUAUCUUUUCUCUUUAAUUAAGUUUUCUUUAUUGUGCUUAAAUUUGAUAUAUCUUUGUGUAUCAUUGUGAAUUUGUUUGUACUCAUUGGGUUGCACCGGGCACUUACAUAUUGUGAUAAUUUUUUGACAAAAAUAUUGUAAAAAGAUGAUUGAAAAAUGAUAAUUUUUUUGAUAUGAUAUAUGUCAGAUAAAAAGAUGAUUGAAAAAUUUGUUGAUGAUACAAACAAAUACAAUUUGACAAAUAAUCUACUAUCCAAACAAAGACUAGAUUUUCUAUGUGCAAAUAUGCUAGGGUAACCGAUUCACAACGCAUUUGAUAAAGCGGUUAUUGAGCACAUUUUGCACUAUUAUUCUGCCCUAAUUUUGGCUACUCAUGGUGCUAAGAAUUGGGAAUUUGCUCAUAUUUGAUAUUUGUGUAAAUUGUAGGUGGUUGCUGUUAAAAGUAAUCUUUUGAGGCAAUUUCCAGAAGACCCUUUAUUUUAGGACGUGCCCACGCCAGAAAUUAUAGAGGGCUACCCAAAAACCGGACCCGCGAGCUUGGUAACAGUAGGAUAACCAAUUAAGGAACUAGGUCCGCGUGGACCAGAUGCGUGGGAUUAGAACCCUUAGACAAAGCUUGCUCCUGAUUUGACUCCUACGGGCGGCGCUACAAAUAAGAAAACAAGCUAGAUUCGCGGGGAAUCAUCUACCUUAGCUUUAAUUUUCCUUUUUUCACAUCUGUCAGACAUCAAAGAAUUUUUCCUUGUUUUUUUUGGCUUUUACGUUUUGACUCUUUUGCUUUUGCUUUGGAUCUGUACAAUUUUCAUUGGCUUUGGCAUUGAACUUUCGGAUCCAGUACGGACUCCAAUGCAGAGACAAGCAAGACUUUUCACUUUUUCUUUCUUUGUUAUUUCAUCGGUCCAGAUUCUUUGAUGUUUGUGUGGAUGAAAUCAAUUAAAUUGCGCGAGAUUGAUAUGACGAGGAGCGGCUAAAUUCCCCUUCUACCCAAGGGUUAACGCGAAGGCGCGGUCCAUAACAUCUGUGAGAUCUAAUCGAAUUUUCACUAUUUCGUCCAAUUCGUUACUAUUUAUGUGUUUCCUGAAUUAAUUGUUCAUGGGUAUUUUAUUAAUUGGGUAUCAGCGGCCGGAUAUUUAAUUUAAUAUAAUAGCCUAUUGGUACAUUAAUUAAAUUGAAUCCGUAAUUGUUCGUUUAGUUGACAAAUAGUGACAACCACCAUAAUUGGUUUUAUGUUGGAGAAACACAAGAUCUAAUUUAAAUAAACUCUCUUAGCGUGUUUAUUGGUUAGGGUUGGGUUUUUCUAGUUUUAAUGCAACUGGAUAACUAAAUUCCUACGGUCGUACCUAGGGUUGUUUUCUGGUUAGAGAAGCAGUCAAUGAUCGUAGUUUGACUGUCGAAAAAGUAAGGAAGAACUGGUUGUCAGAUCUUAUUGAUAACUAUAACCAACCUAGUGACGGAUGGAUGAAAUAUCUUUGCAUCGAUGAUCAUUUAAUUGGACCGUGCCUGAAAACUUGAUUCUUUGGGUAGAAUUUUAUUAAUUGCUAUUUUUAGUAAAUUGUACUUGUGGAGUUAUCUUUUGAAUUUUAUUUAUUUUAUUUUCGUUUCCAUCCCAUUAAUUAUCCCCUAAUUUUAUUCUAUUGAUUUAAAAAGAAACAACUUCCUACCCGUUCCCUGUGGAAUCGACCCUACUUGCCAUUGUACGCAAAAUUAAUAUUUUUAUAGACAAUUCAGGUAUAUCGGACCAAGCAAACUCUUCGGGAAUAGGGUAAAUCAAGUAAUCCAUUACACAUUUAGGGUCCCUACUCUAGUAUUUGGAUUUGUUCUAUAAUUAAUUGUGAUGGUAAUUAGGACUUUUUAGUAAUUAUUAUUGCACAGGUUCGGUAUCUGUCAAUUUUUGGCGCCGUUGCCGAGGAACGGUAUUUUGAUUAAUUUUGUUUCUUUCUAAGUUAUUUUCUUUGGAUUUGUCUGACAUUUUUCUAGUUUAUGCCUCGUUCUUCUCAUACAGGAGAAUUGAUUUUCGAUCCGGAAGUAGAGAAGACUUCGUGUCAAACUAGAAAAUAGACUAGGCAACUCAGAGAGGAGCAAUCGAGCACUGCAUCUCAGGAACUGGAUCCUGAGAUUGAAUCAGCAGAUUCGAGUGGUGAAAAUUCAAGUGACCCAGGCCAAGAAGACAUCCCUAUGGCGAAUGCAAGAACACUAAGGGAGUUGGCUGCUCCGGAAUUGCCCCAGCAGCCGCUGUGCAUCACAUUUCCAACUCUAGCUGAAAAUGCCUCAUUCGAACUAAAGUCGGAGUUGAUUCACCUUUUGCCCACAUUCCAUGGCCUUUCGGGGGAGGAACCCCAUAAACACAUUCAAAAGUUCAAUGUGGUAUGCUCCAGUAUAAAGUCUCCAGAAAUUACUGAGGAGCAGAUCAAACUUAGAGCCUUCCCAUUCUCCCUCAAGGAUGCAACAAAGGAUUGGUUGUACUACUUACCUGCAGGCAGUGUUACAACAUGGACCCAACUGAAAAAGAAAUUUUUGAAAAAAUUCUUCCCUACAUCCCGGGCUGCAAGUCUGAGAAAGGAGAUUUGUAGCAUUAAACAGUACCCUGGAGAAUCCCUAUAUGACUAUUGGGAGAGGUUCAAUAAGUUGUGCACUAAAUGCCCACAACAUCAAAUUAGUGAACAACUAUUGAUCUAAUAUUUCUAUAAGAGGCUCCAGUCAUCCGACAGGAGUAUCAUUGAUCCUGCGAGCGGGGGAGCAUUGGCAAAUAAGACCCCGAGGGAAGCAUGGUUGCUCAUUGAAACUAUGACAAAAAAUUCACAACAGUUUGGCUUCCGCGAGAGUAACCCUACCCGUAGGGUUAACAAGAUAGAGACAUUAUCCAUUCAGCAGCAGCUAUCAGAGCUAACAUCUUUCGUUCGCCAAUUAGCUGUGGGAAACGGGCACCAAGCAAAGGCCUGUGGAAUCUGCACAAAUGUGGGUCACCCCACUGACUCAUGCCCUAUGUUGCAAGAGGAUGGGGCUAAACAUAUGAACAUGACUGGAGGCGUGCCCGCGCCUCGUAGGCAGUACGACCCACACUCGAACACGUACAAUCCGAGUUGGAAAGAUCACCCCAAUUUCAGCUAUGAUAAUAGGCCACAGAAUUCAUUCUCCAAUCGUCCACCAGGAUUUCGGCAACCAUGGCAACCAAAGCCACAACCUUUAUCAUCUAACUCAGGAAGUUCCUUGGAGGAAAUUGUCAAGAGUUUGGUCACGACUACCACUCAGCUCCAACAGGAGACUAGGGCCCUGGUCGCGAACAAUACUCAGUUCCAGUAGGACACCAGAGCAAGCAUGAAAAACAUGGAGACUCGAAUGAAUCAAAUGGCAACCGUCAUUAAUCGCUUGGAGUCCCACGUUUAUGGAAAACUACCAUUACAAUCCAAGAUAAAUCCCAAGAAUGUAAGUGCCAUGACACUAAAGAGUGGCAAAGAGGUGGAGGGACCUAAGUUGGUAAAUUCGAAAAGCAAAAAGUGAGGAGGAGAUAGAAGAGGGAGUUGAAGAGGAACGGCACAUUCGCGAAGAGUCUAAGGUAACAUCUAUUCCUUUGAUGCCUAUUAAAUCUAAUCUAGCUCCUUUUGCUUGCAGGUUGGAAAAGACAAAUAGGGCAGAAAAGGAAAAAGAAAUCCUGGAUGUGUUCCGCAAAAUUCAAGUAAACAUCCCCCUAUUGGAUGCGAUCAAACAGGUAUCCAAGUAUGCAAAGUUCUUGAAAAACUUGUACGUUAACAAAAGAAAGCUAAGGGAUGAUGAGAGAGUGAUGGUAGGAGAGAAUGUAUCAGCUGUACUUCAAAGGAAACUCCCACCCAAAUGCGAGGAUCCAAGCAUGUUUACUAUCUCCUGUAAGAUUGGAUGUUCUAAUAUCGAAAAUACCAUGCUAGUUUAGGAGCCUCUAUUAAUGUGAUGUCUAAAUCAAUCUAUGAUUCCCUAAAUUUAGGACCUUUAAAAGAAACAAGAAUAAUAAUUCAAUUGGCUGAUCGUACAUUUGCUUAUCCGGAUAGAAUAGUUGAGAAUGUUUUAGUGCAAGUAGAUGGAUUAAUUUUUCCUGCUAAUUUUUAUGUGCUUUACAUGGAUGAUAGAAGUGUCCCAAAUCCAUCACCCAUUAUAUUAGGAAGGCCAUUCUUGAGUACUGCCCAAACUAAGAUUGAUGUUAGUAAGGGUACUUUCACAAUGAAAUUUGAUGGAGAAACAGUCCAUUUUAAUAUUUUUGAUACAGUGAAACAUCCUGUUAACUCUUAUUCUGUGUUUGUUAUUCAUGCUACUGAUCCAUCUGUGCAAAAAUUUUCUGAGUUUGCUUGUAGAAGUAAAUUCAAAGUUGCUGCAAACAAGUAUCAUGGAAUGAAAGCAAUUCAUGAGGUGAAAAUGGGUAGAAAAUUAAGAAAAAAUGUUGCAUUCAAUGGCUAUUUGGAUCCCGGAGGAGGGCCACUGAUUACAAGAAAAAUUGAAUUACAUCCAAACUGAAGAGCGGUGUAUAGUGUCUAGCCAAAGACAUUAAAGAAAGACACUACUUGGAAAGCAAUCCAAGGAUUUCAAUUGUGUUCUAUUUCAUAUUUGUGUGCUCAAGACCAGUGGGUUUAGAUUCCUAUUGACAAUAUUUAUUAUAGGUCAUGGGUGUUUCUGUGUAGUUUUAUUCUAGGUUGGACGCAAAAAAAAAAAAUUUUGUGGGCAGAAGACUUCAUGUUACAAGGCGUGCCCGGGCCUUGUACUCACCGCACAUGAAUAUUUGUAAAAUUUGGUGAACAGAAGACCUCGACCUCCAAGGCAUGCCCACGCCUUCCAACCUUUGCAACAAUGAAAGUAAAAAAAAAUUGACCAGGACCUUCUCUAACCCCACUUUUCUACUUUUCUUUUUUCUUGUCUUGUCUGGUCUUUUUAAUUUCCUCUGUCUUAGUUUCUACUUUUCAAUUUCCUUUGUUUUGUCUUAGUUUCAGUUUCUUCGUUUCCUCUUUUCUUGUUAGUCUGCCGCGCACAGCGCGUCGCCGUGGCGUGCUCCUCUUACCAUACUCCUCCUACUGGGGAUUCCCAAUACUGUGCCCUCCAAGAUUCUAUCCAUGAACUAGGUGAGCAGGUUGAGGGACUAGAUGGCCGUCUUGCAGCGCUGCAGGUUUUUGCUCGCAUUCAGGUGGAGAACUAGGCAGCUUUCUUUACGCAUAUUGGAUUCACUCCACCUCAUCCUCCUCCCCCUUAGUGUCUAGCUGCAGCCUCUCGGUAGUCAAGGAAGUUUCUCUCCUUUUCUCCUAAUAUUUCAUUUGUCUUUUCUACAUUGAGAACAAUGUAGGUUUUAGGUGUGGGGGAGUAGUUCCCAUUAUUUCUUUUGGUUUCCAUUAUUUCUUUUGGCUUUGGUACAAAAAAAAACAAAAAAUGGAAAACAAAAAAAUGAAAAAAUGAUGAAAACAAUGUAGUUAGUCGGCUUUCUGUUCAUUUCUAUGUUUGUUAGUACUGGAGCAUAUUGCUAUGACGAAUUAUACAAUCAUGGUGCACAGGUAUGUGGUCAAAUAUGCUAGUUGGGCAUUUUGUUUUUGCUUUGCAAUAUCAUUGAAUGUUGAAUAUGCUGGACUUGAUCCAUUCUUAAAACUUUUGGGAGCUUUUGAGCCAUACAUGAGCACAUUAUUCUUGUUUGUUCUAUUUUUGUUUGAUUGAGUGGGUAUCACACAUGGUAUUGGUAUUCUAGAACUUGCUAUUUUGUACAUGUCGAGAUCACAUUUUGUUGAAGUGGAUGCAUUUGAAAUAAUAAGGGCAUUUAGGAUUUGACCUUCUUUAGCUUUCUAAAAACCAUGCAUUCAUCUUAUCUCCCGAUAGUGAAUCAAUUUGAAUUUUUAUCCUUCGCUUUUGUUUGUUAGUCGUGUUUGAUAACCCAUGACCUUUUUAUACUUUCUUGUUCAACCUUGUGUCAUUAAGAGAUGUCUGAAAUUCGGCAAAUAAAUCUAGGGUCGCAAGUGUUGUCAAAAUAGAUGCUGUAUGAUGUUGUUUCUGUACAUCUGAGAUCGAAAAAAAAGAAAAAAAGAAAAAAAAAGGAAAAAAAGGGGAAGAAAUUGUCAAUAAGAUGGUGAAACAGACGACUCUGUCUUACAGGGCGUGCCCACGCCUUGCAAUUACUUAACUCAACCAAAAAAAUAAAAAAAAUUUUGGCGACACUUGCACAGUGGGUGUAGCAAAUGAAACUGCCUUAUUUGUGAAACUCCUCCGGUGAAGCAUUGUGGUUAUAUGGUGGGUUUCUGAUAUUCGAGGCACAUACCGGUUGAAUGAUCCCUGGCAUAACAAAUUCCACAAGUUGCAGCAGCCAUUCUUUCAAUAAGAGAGUUUAGUGCCUCUGAAUAUGCAAACUUAGAAAAAAAACAAGCCUCAUUGUCUUCCCUGGAAACAAAAUCCAGUCUAUCACCAAAAUCCGGAGUGUUAGAAGCCAUAAACUAUAUAAAAAAAAUAAGAGAAAAAUAAACAAAAAAAAAAUGAAAACAAGAUGAACUCAAAAAGAAACAAAUUAAUCUGACACCAGUCCCCGACAACGGCGCCAAAAAUUGACAGGGUGUCGAACCUGUGCAAUAAUAAAUACCUGCUUAAAUAAAAUAUAAUUUCUGUAGAUAGUGAUAAGCAGGGUCGAAUCCACAGGAAUUGGGGAUAAUUUAUUUCUUUAGAGUCCGAAGUAUGGGGGAUUUUUGAAAAUGAGAGUAACUAAACUACUUGGAAUAAAUUAAAAUAAAAUAAAACAACUACAACUCAAAUAACUAAUUAUCACAAUAAAAAUAAUAAUGGACGAACUCUAACCAAGAGACAACUUCGGAGAUGGUUCACUUAAUUCGAUCACAGAUGCAAGGAUUAUUCCAGUUACUAUCUGAUAAAUUAGUUAUAGUUGUCAUACACGCGAUAAACAACCAACUCUUCCUCAAUUUGUCGAAAGCCAAGGUACGACCGUUGACUAUUUCUCUAAUCAGGAAAUAACCUUAGGUACGACCAUAGAAGUUCAAUUCCCUAAUUGCAUGAAUAAUUAGAAGAGCCUAAUUCUAACCAAUCAACACGCUACGAGGGUCUCUUUAAGUUAACCUGUCUAUCUCCCUGACACAAACCCAAUCAUGCCAGUUGCCACCAGUUUAGAAUAAUUAAACAAUUACGGAUUUAACUACCCUAAUUGGUUUCAGGUUAUUGAAUUAAUCUAGAAUCCGGGCCCUGGAUAAUCGAAUAAUAAAACAACCAUAUGAACAUAAAGCAGAAGAUAGACGAAUACCAGUGAAUAAUGAAAAUAAAUAAAAACUAAUUCGAUCUCACAAAUUUAGUAGAACCAAGUCCUCCGUUGUUCCUCGACUAUAUGAGAAACUUAGCCACGCCUCAUGAGAAAAUCUCCAAGUGAUUUUACUGAGGUCCAAGCCAUCAAAGGAACUAAGAAAGAAUAAAACUAAACUAUGCUAAAAACUAAGCUAAAACUAUUGAUAAGAGCUUCUGUGUAUGUUUGUUUCUCUUUUUAAAGCCAAAUGACUAAUACCUUCCCUCUUUUCUGUGGUCCCCGCACGAAUUGAGAGUCCAAUUCCAUCUCACAAGCCUUUGUACGUUUCUUUUCCAAGAGCCCAAAUGACUCAUGCUUCUUAUCUCCGUGGUCCCACGAGAUUCCCCAAUCAAAGUCCAAAAGGUAAGGCCUCUUAAUGUUUCCUCUUUUCUCGUUUCUCAUUGCUCCUAGGACUCCUAGGAUUCAAGACACUCCUCAUCAGCAAAGGAAAUGCAGUCCGCAUCUAUCACAAUGUGGGCCAGGUCUGUGGCUUAGUUGAAGUCUCAAUUGUUUCCAGAAAGUCCCUCUUUUUUUGUAAUUUUCUGCUUCACUCCCUGAAAUUGGGUCCAAUACCAAAUAUAAGUAAAUAUUAAUAAUUAAAAUAAUAUUUGGCAAGGAUAAAAGGGAAAUUAAUAAUAAAAUAACCAAUAAUUAACACCCUAUCAGUUUCGGACAUUCUCUUGACAUAUUACCCCCUAUCUAUACCUUUCUAUCCCAUUUUUUACCUAAGCCCCAUUACAACCCUAUCAAAAUUCCUUUGAUUUGUGUAUUUAGUUCAUUUUUGAGUGGUGGAGAUGUGAUAAAUGUGCAAACUUAUGGUAAUGUCAUUCCGUGAUGUUGAUUUGAGCGUUCCUAGUAUUCAUACAUUUUUUUUGAAUUACCACCUGUCCGGUGUGUUCUAAUUUUGGCAAUAUUGUCAGGAAUGCGGGAUGUUUGAGGUAGUAUAGAUGACUAAGAAACCGUUGCUAUCUUGAUUGUGCUUCUGAGCUCCAAAAUGCUUGAGGGCAAGCAUUGUCUAGAUGUGGGGAGAUUUGAUAGAACGGUUAUUGAACACAUUUUGCACUAUUAUUCUGCCCUAAUUUUGGCUACUCAUGGUGCUAAGAAUUGGGAAUUUGCUCAUAUUUGAUAUUUGUGUAAAUUGUAGGUGGUUGGUGUUAAAAGUAAUCUUUUCAGGCAAAUUUUCAGAAGACCCUUUAUUUCAGAACGUGCCCACGCCAGAAAUUAUGGAGGGUUACCCAAAAAUCGGACCCGCGAGCUUGGUAACAGCGGGAAAACCAAUUAAGGAACCAGGUGCGUGGGAUUAGAACCCUUAGACAAAGCUUGCUCCUGAUUUGACUCCUACAAGUGGCGCUACAAAUAAGAAAACAAGCCAGAUUCACGGGGAAUCAUCUACCUUAGCUUUAGUUUUCCUUUUUUCACAUCUGUCAGACAUCAAAGACUUUUUCCUUGUUUUCUUUGGCUUUUACGUUUUGACUCUUUUGCUUUUGCUUUGGAUCUGUACAAUUUUCGUUGGCUUUGGCAUUGAACUUUCGGAUCCAGUACGGAUUCCAACGCAGAGACAAGCAAGACUUUUCACUUUUUCUUUCUUUGUUACUUCAUCGGUCCACAUUCUUUGAUGUUUGUGUGGAUGAAAUCAAUUAAAUCACGCGAGACUGAUAUGACGAGGAGCGGCUAAAUUUCCCUUCUACCUAAGGGUUAACGCAAAGGCGCGGUCCAUAACAUCUGUGAGAUCUAAUCGAAUUUUCACUAUUUCAUCCAAUUCGUUAUUAUUCAUGUGUUUCCUGGAUUAAUUGUUCGUGGGUAUUUUAUUAAUUGGGUACCAACGGUCGGAUAUUUAAUUUAAUCUAAUAGCCUACUGCCAUAUUAAUUAAAUUGAAUCCGUAAUUGUUCGUUUAGUUGACAACUAGUGGCAACCACCAUAAUUGGUUUUAUGUUGGGAAAACGCAAGAUCUAAUUUAAAUAAACCAUCUCAGCGUGUUUAUUGGUUAGGGUUGGAUUUUUCUAGUUUUAAUGCAACUGGAUAACUAAAUUUUUAUGGUCGUACGUAGGAUUGUUUUCUGGUUAGAGAAUCAGUCAAUGGUCGUACCUUGACUGUCGAAAAAGUAAGGAAGAAUUAGUUGUUAAAACUUAUUGAUAACUAUAACCAACCUAGUGACGGAUGGAUGAAAUAUCUUUGCAUCGAUGAUCAUUUAAUUGGACCGUGCCUGAAAAGUUGAUCCAUUAGGUAGAAUUUUAUUAAUUGCUAUUUUUAGUAAAUUAUACUUGUGGAGUUAUCUUAUGAAUUUUAUUUAUUUUAUUUUUGUUUCCAUCCCAUUAAUCAUCUCCCAAUUUUAUUCUAUUGACUUAGAAAGAAACAACUUCCUACCCGUUCCCUGUGGAAUCGACCCUACUUGCCAUUAUACGCAAAAUUAAUAUUUUUAUAGACAAUUCAGGUAUAUCGAACCAAGCAAACUCUUCGGGAACAGGGUGAAUCAAGUAACCCAUUGCAUACCUAGGGUCCCUGCUCUAGUACUUGGAUUUGUUUUAUAAUUAAAUAGGGACUACUUGUCCUGUAUUCAGAUAUGCCAUUGUAAUAGAACUUUAGUAUACUUAGAUAGUAUAUUAUUUAGGAUAAUUUUUUGACAAAAAUAUUGUAACAUUUUUUUUGAUAUGAUAUAUGUCAGAUAAAAAGAUGAUUGAAAAAUUUGUUGAUGAUACAAACAAAUAAAAUUUGACAAAUAAUCUACUAUCCAAACAAAGACUAGAUUUUCUAUGUGCAAAUAUGCUAGGGUAACCGAUUCACAACACAUUGUAUGAAACUUUAUUCCCCAUGGUGUUGCAUGUUAUUCGUGUUUGUUUUGGUGAUAAUUAAGCCCCAGUGAGGCCAUAAUUGAGUAGAACUUGAAGUAGAAUUUUAUUUAUUUAUUUUUGGAUAAGAUUUUAAGGGACCCAAAUGAUACAAUUUGAAGUAGUAUAUUGAAAAUUCAAGAAUUUGAUAUCUUGGUAUUUCUAGAAUUUAAAAGUUGGAUUUUAACCAAAAAAAAAAAAAAGAAUUCAAAAAGUUGGAUAUUGUGAGAAAAAUCAAGUGGGUCCAAGUUUGUUAUGUCUAUCCUACAAUAGUACAAUGAGUGGACAAUAAUAAAUAUGGGAAAAAUACACUUUUUAUCCCUAAUGUUUAAGGUGUUAACCAAUUUCGUCCCUAAAGUUUCAUGUAAAACAUAUUUCAUCCUUGUAAUUUGAUAAUUUUAACUAAUUUCUUUCUUAAAGUUUCACACGAACACAUUUCAUCCUCAUAGUUUAAUAUAUUUGGCUAAUUGAGGACAAUUAGUGGAUUGUCAAUGAUUUUAAAUAGAAUAUUGUCACUUGACCACAACAUGCCCAUUAGUAAAAAAAAAAAAAACAUUGGAUCAACAAAAAGGUUAAAAAUCUUUUCUUAAUCCACUUUCUCAUUUUGGUACCAAAAAAAAAACUUAAGAAAUUUUUAGCCACCAUUACUGUCUUCUUAAUCACAAUCGAACAAGAAGAUAUAUCUAAAGAAAAUGAAGUCAUGGAAAACAAACAACCCCACUAUAGCCAAUUGGAAAAAAAUGUCAAACAACUCCAUUACAACUAAUUGGAGAAAAAUAUUAAUGUGAAAGAAAGAAUGGUUUGAAUUGUCAUUUAUUUGCAAAAUUUUGUUUUGCUGCUGUGUAUUUUGCACCAACAGUUGUAUCAUGUAUACGUUUUUCAAUCAUCUAUUCAUCUUUCAAUCUAUUUGUUUUAUCUCAAAUGCAUUAUAUCAUAAUUUUAAAAAACAAAGAGAUAGUCUCAUAUCCAAAAACACUUGUUAAUUUUGUAAUUUAAUCAAUAACUGAAUUAAGUAUUAAUAAUACAAUUACUAAUGGGACAUGUGAUGAUAUUAUGUCCAAAUUGGUUAACAAUCAUUUAAUUGUCCUCAAUUGAUAGAAAUUAUGAAACUAUCGGGAUGAAAUGUGUUCUACAUAAAUUUCAGGGACAAUUGGUCUAAAUUAUAAAACUAUGAGGAUAAAAUAUGUUUAGAAUGAAACUUUAGGAACGAAAUUAGUUAACACAUUAAACAAUGGGGAUGAAAAGUGCAUUUUUCCUAAUAAAUAUUUUUGUUUGUUCCUUCUUCUGUCGUUCGUACUAAAACAGUCAACGGGAAUGACGCCGCUCCGAUGUUCACAAAAUAAUUGGUUGGAUUCCAAACUAGGCAUUAAAAUAAGGAAACAAGUCUAUGACUCUCAAUUUGAAGCUGUGCUAUCAUAAAUUGUUUAAGAAUACCGCUAAUGGAACACUUAUUGAGUGUGCAAUGCAAUCAAAUUUUAAUUUUUUGCAAAGUCUAAGUUUUGAAAAUUAAAUACUGGUAAAAACUAUAAUUCGUGGAAAGGUUUUAUAUUUAUUUGACAAAAUAUUUAAUUCACUUCAUAGAGGUAAGAUAUGAAUUUUUAUUCAAUGUGUAAUUGGUUUCUUUUGAAAUAAAAGGUAGUAGUUAUAUUGAGUUUAAUAUAUAUUGUGAGUAGUUGAUGUCUAAAAGUUGCAAAUUGUUUUAGGUAUAUGAAAAAAAGAGAGAUUAUAUUAGGUGUAAAAGCCAACAUAGGUGUUUUAGAGCAUUAAAGCAAGAGAAUAUUGAAAGCUUGGUUUAGGAAAUACUAUGAUAGUUUGAUCUAUUGCAUAUAAGAACGAGAAAAUAACUGUGACCACUUCCUUAUCUUACCAAAGUACAAUUAUAUUUUGUUAAAAAAAAAAUCUCCAGCAAAGGAAGGGUGAGAUUGAUUUAAGAAGCAGGGAGGAAAAAAAGAAUUUGAACUCAGAAAUUUUCACCAAAGAUGCCUUGUUCUAGUAGUUAAAGUUGAAAUUCCAAAAAUUAGAGUAUUGAGUUCAAAUCCCUCUGCUUCCUUCCCACUUUUUAAGUUCCAUGUCUCUCCUUUUUGAAAAAAAAAAAAGAAAUAGUAAAGUACACUCAUGUUAUAGUACAUCACUAUUUGGUACUUUAUAUAUCCCUAUAACAUAUAAGAAGACGUUUUGUGGGUUACUGUUCAUUGCAUUUCAUCUGCCUCCUUGGGGGUUUUUUUGUCAUUCCAGCCUCUUGCUUAUUCUUUUUCUUGGAGCUGGUACAACUGGUUGCUGCUUUGGAGAAUAUGUCUUUUCUAUCCUUAUUACAAGCCUUAGCCGGAUGUUAGUGGAAUGUUGGCUGUUUUGCAACAUUAAUGAGAUUUGAUGCUCAUUUCUAUCAGCCAACUCAUUUGCCUUGUUUAAUUACAUUUUUCUCCUUCCAAAUGCUCAUUGAAUAGACUGAGCAUUUUGAAUUCAUGUGUAACAGAGUCAUUUCACAAUAGCCUUCUACUUUUGCUAUUGAAAAUUAGAAAAUUGAGUCUUCUCUUCUCCGUGUUCUCCUGCUACAUGCAUUCAUUAUCCACAACUCUUUGUCUAUAUCCACAACUCUCCGUUCUAUCCUACUGCCUUUGUUAUUGCAUUGAAAAAUCCCAUAUCUAGGUUCUAUUUCCUUUCUGCUAAAUCUUUGUUUUCUACCUUAUUCAUGAUAUGAACUGUAAACCAUAUUUACUAUUAUUGUCAUGCUUGGUGUUAGCUUUGCAUAUUCAGUGUACAAUGGCUUCAACUGAUGCACUUGCACAUUCAACGGAUAAGAAGAUUCAUUGCAACAGAAGAUUAAGAGAAAAAUAUGCUUCCUUAUCAGUGGAAGAAAAAGAAGCUUGUCGAGCUAAAUAGAAGGAAGCUUAUCUAAAGAGGAGAGCAAGGAAAGCUGCUGCAUCGACGUCUUCUAUGAACUGACAACAAACUAACAGUAUCUUAUUCAGUUUUGCUAGAAAUGAAAGCUGUGGUAUAAAUGUUUGGUGCUUCGCGUUUAUAUUGGUUUCUUUAGAUUUCUACUUAACUAGUUUAAUGGUUGAUUAAACUUCUUUAUGUGUAAAUUGACAGCAAACUUCUGUAAUAAAUAUAUACACAUGGAGAAGAGCUGUUGAGUUUGCCUGUAUCUGAAGUUUUUGAGUUUUCUGCUUCGCUGCCUUAAUAUUGGAUUAAAAAGAAAUCUUUAUGUUUGAAUUAAAAAAAAAUCUAUAAGAGAUGCAUGCGAAUGGAGAACAGCUUCUAGUUACUGUGAAAAGCUGUGCCAAUAUUUAAAUUAAAAUUGUAAUUUGCAUUAUGCUAAACAUGAUGUAAAUUAUCAAAACCUUUUAAUUCAGGUGCACAACUUCUAGUUUCGUGUGACCUAUGACAAAAUAAUGACCACAAUAACCAACAGGCUAUUGCUAUUAAACCACUUCCACAACAGAGUAGAGACAAAGAGGCUAAUUUGCAACAAUCUAUUGCUAUCAAAUUGGUUGUGCAACAACAUAACAAAAGUAAUUCUCUGUGCAAAUGCAAUGCUGAAUUAGAAGGCAAGUUGAAGAGGCAUGUUUUCUUGACAUUUGAACAUGGUAUGCUUGCACAAGUUCAUUACUCUUUAAAUUUUCUACGCCAAGUUGUUCCCUUUUUUUUUUUUUGCUCUUCUAUGUUUAUACAUGCAUUUUUUGAUCUUAUGUUCAUAUAGGUUCUUCGUUAAAAAGACAUUAAUUUAUAAAUGUAAAAGAAUCAGUAGACUAAACGUUUCAAGUAUAUCUUGUUAUAAUCAUAUUUAUCAAUGUACGCUUCAUAUAAUAAUUUCUAUGCUUGCAACUAGUAGGUGAUCCUCCUAUAUGUGAUAGCUGCUAUAAAUUCUUGCAUGAAACAGUUGAUGAUCUUGCAGGUUGAAAUCCUUAAUCCUAUUUUUAUAAAUAUUUGCUCAAUGUCGUUUGGUUGCUAAACUUGAUUUAGGCUCUUACAGUUUCUUAUUUGCCUAAUCAGGUAUAUCUAUGACAAUAUGCCCUCAACCAGUGGAAGCCAAUGUUUCUCAUGCCAUGAAAAAUUGUCCAAAAGGUAUGCAUAUCUAAAAUGUAUCUGGAAAUGUUGUAGAAUCUAUAUGUAUGUAUAUCAGCAGCAUGAUUUUUUUACCUCGUAACUAACCAGAUUAUUGAACUACCAACUAGAGUAAGUAAGCGCAAGUAGAUUCAUUGCUCACUCGAACCCAUUCCUCUUGCUCUACCUAUUGAGUGCACAGAUGACUCGCGAAAAAAACUAUAGAGAGCGACCGAAGCUCGUCAAGCCCCGAUCCUUCUUCAGCCAUAAGAAAGCCAAGACCAGACUUGGGGAGAACUACUCUGUCCACACCUGUCCCAUUCCUUCUCUCUUCAGUAAGCGAAUCAGCCAGUAAACUUGAAUCUGUGGGUAGCACAAAAAGAGUAGCUUGGUUCCGUUUCGGUUUAUACACCAGGGCCAAAACCUUACCAUGCCAACACUCUUCCGGUUCGAUAAGACCAGCUCUUUCUAUAGCUGCAUUUCAUCUUCCCCUCAAUUGCUCUGUAGGCAAAAGCUCAAGCCAAAGGAGAUCAAACAUCCAAGCAAAGAAGGCUUGCAUGCAAAACAAGGGUAUCAUUGCUGUUUCUUUAUCUUACAUCUAUACAUAUUCAAAUAUUUAUACCUCUUUCAUAUGCACAUAAAAUAGUCAUAAAAAUGCUUUGUGUCCUAUUAUUCUACAACAUCUAAAAAUAUAGCUGGUGUAGAUGUUCUGAAUUUCAUUAACCAUAGUGCAAACCGCCUCCCUGAUGCAUUAGAUUGUAAAUAUUGUGGAUCAAAAAAAUUCUACUCAGAGACAGCAAACUUUUGCUAUUUUGAUGGCAAAGUUCUGCUCCAUGAAAAUAAGCUACCUAACAUCUUAAUUGAACUUUUUAGUGGUCAGAGCGGAGAAGCUAUACAAUUUCGAACCUAUGUCAGGACCUAUAAUAGCAUGUUUGCAUUUACUUCAUUUGGUGUUCACUAUGAAAAAUCCCUCUGCAAGAGAACAAAUGAAAUCUAUAUAUUCAAGAUACAAGGCCAAACCUAUCAUUUCAUCAAUGAACUAAUAAGGCAUGGAGGAUUAGGAAUGUAUCUUCAGCUUUAUUUUCAUGACACAGAACAUAAAAUUCAGAAUCGAUUAGCAAUAUCAAAAAAGCUGACUGAAAGUAUUGUAGUCAAACUAAUGGAAGUAAUGAAAGAAAAUCCAUAUGCUUGCUUCUUCAGGAGUUUGAGAAAUCUCCCAAACUUCGACUCAUAUCAUAUAGUUUUAAAAUCUCACUCCGACAAUGACCAGCAAGUGUUUAAUAAACCUGCUGUAUCUCAAGUUGCAGCUUUAUGGGUUAAAUGAGAAAACGCUAAUCAAGGCUAUUCUAGACACAUACAAAUAUAUACUAAAGAAGGACAUAGCCACCGCAUUCAAUAUUACUACGGCUACUGUGACCCUCUUCAGUAUUCACUACUUUUUUCAUUCGGAGAAACUAGAUGGCAUCCAGGUAUACAACAAUUAGGGAUAGACAAUCCAAAAAAGCGUAAAAGAAAGACUAUGAUACAUUCAUGUUUAGCUACAUUGUCCAGCAUUAAGUCGGCAGAAGAAAUGAUUGAUCUCGAAGAAGAAGGUAACACACAUAUACCAUUAUUAUAUAUAACUGUAUUGAAUUACAGUUAUCUCUUCUUUGACAAAUAUUCUAAAUCUUACAGCUUACAAGGCAAAUGAAAACUCCAAGGAAUAUGUAUCCAUGAUACAGUAUUAUGCAUAUAAAUUCUAGAUAAGAAAAAAAAUUGGGCCAAAUAUUUUAAACGCUUGAAGAGCUUUGCAACAGUAUUCAGUUGAUUUGUACGUUAAAAUAGAGACACAAAGACGAGAUUUUUAUAGAAGCAGACAACAGCAAAUACGUCAAGAGCAGCUACAAGGAAUUAUAGACAAUAUAAUACAGGGACAACAAAAUGGAUUUCGGAUUGAACUGCGAGUAAUAUUGCCUGCAUCAUUUAUUGGAGGCCCUAGAGAUAUGAAAAAAAAGGUAUCUUGAUACUACGACUUUGGUCCAGAAAUUUGGGAAGCCGGAUCUUUUUAUAACUAUGACUUGCAACCAAUCAUGGCCUGAAAUUAAAGAAAAUCUGUUAUAAUCAGAUGAAGCAUAGAAUAGGCUUGAUCUUAUUCCUCGUGUGUUCUAUGCAAAGUUAGAAAUUAUAAAGGAAGAGUUAUUCAAGAAGCAAAUAUUUGGAGAAAUAGUAGCCUAUACUUAUGUUAUAGAAUUUCAGAAACGUGGUUUGCCUCAUGCUCACUUUCCAAUUAUCCUCAAGCCUACUUUCAAAUUAUAUACAAUAGAAGAUUAUGAUUGUAUAGUUUUUGUAGAAAGACCCGAUGAAACACAAAUGAGCAUCUCUUUAGAAUGGUCAAGAAACAUAUGAUGCAUAGGCCGUGUGGCGAGAAAAAAACCUGAUACUGUAUAAAUACAGGAUGUAUCAAAGAAGUAUUGCAAGAAUAAUUAUCCAAAGGCAUGGGCAGAAAAAAUUAGACAUUCUUCGAACUCGUAUCCAACAUACAGAAGAAGAAAUGAUAGCAAAAAAAAUUUUAUCCGGGGGCACUACUUAGACAACAUAUGGGUAGUGCCAUACAAUGCUUAUCUAUUGGCCAAAUUCAAUUGCCAUAUAAAUGUUGAAAUUUGCUCCACAAUUAAGACCGUCAAGUAUGUGUAUAAGUAUACAUACAAAGGUCAUGCAAGGAUACAUUUUCAAGUGAAUUCAGGUGAUGGAGCAAAUGCUAUUGAUGAAAUCAAGGAAUAUCAGUCAGCACAGUAGGUAUUUGCAGUUGAAACGAUGUGGAGGAUAUAUAGAUUUCACCUUUACGAAAUGCAGCAUACUGUAAUAUAGCAUCAACUCCACCUAGAAAACUUCCAAUCUAUGCUCUUUCAACCAAAUGAUAGUCUUGACAAUAUAUUAAGUAACAAUUUUGUAAAAAGAAACUCACCCAAUUUUUUUAAAUGAAUGCUACAGAUAAUUUAACAAAAAGUUUCAAAUGUACCUACAAAGAAUCCCUCGAACAUUUUGUGUGGUAUCCAAGUUCCAAAUCUUAGCAACCUAGCAACAAAGAGAUUUUAUCAGUAGAGUUGUUGCAGCAAAUCCCCUUGAAAGUGAACGGUACUUCUUAGGACUCCUUUUACUGCAUGUUAAAGCCCCAACUUCUUAUGAUGAUUUAAAAACUGUAAACGGAGUGCAUGUUACUACAUUUUGGGAAGCAGCUGCACUUAGAGGAUAUCUGGAAUCAAAUAACUUACAAGAACAAUUUCUAGAAGAAACUAUUGUUUAUCAUAUGCCAUAUAGCCUAAGGAUGUUGUUUGCAACAUUAUUGGUUUACUUUACUCCCUCAAACCCAAGAACACUAUGGUUGAAAUUUGAAGAAUCAUUGUCUAAAGAUUACAAUGGAGUCCCAAACUUAACCAAAAAUGAUAUUCAAUUUAAAGUUUUACAUCAAAUAAGCAAUUUUUUAGAAUCUAUGGGUCGUAACAUAAACAGCUAUGGGCUGGUGCCAAGAGUACUAAAAUUUCACGACUCAAAUCACAAAUGCAAGAGAUACAAUUAGUGAAACAGAGAUUAAAGUUUCAGAGGAUGACUUGAUAUCAAUUACUAAAAUCAAUCCUGGUCAAAAAACAGCUUUUGAUGCUAUAAUGCAGGCGUUAUACAUUAAACAAAAGGGAUGUUUCUUUAUCGAUGGACCAGGUGGCAAACAGCUCACUCUCAAAUGAGUAAACAAAGUGAACUUGCUAAACUUAUUCAAACAGCUAAACUUAUCAUUUGGGACAAAGCUCCAAUGGCACACAAAACUAGUAUAGAAGGUGUGGAUGCACUACUAAAAGAUUCGAUGGAUUCUUCUGAAUUAUUUGGCUCAAACGUUAUGAUUUUUGGUAGUGAAUUUAGACUAGUUCUCCCCAUUGUCACUAAAGGUUCAAAGGAAGAUUUCACAUAAGCUAGCUUAGUAACUUCACAUAUUUGGCCAUAGCUUCAUAAACUGUACCUCACAGAUAAUAUGAAAGCAAUAUCAGACCCAAAAUUUACAAAUUACCUUCUCUGAAUAGGAAAUGGACUAGAACCAACAAUACAAGGGUUGAAAGUAAGGAUCCCUCUCCCACUACUAAUACCAUACAAAAGUGAAACAGAAUCAAUUUUUGAACUUAUUAAAAUAGUUUACCCAAAUGUGUUAAAUAAUUUGUUAAUUGAAAUUUUUUCAGGUGAGUCUCAAAAUUAUAUUAGUCGUGAUAAAACACAUGAAAUUUCAGAACAAGGCCAAUUUGAAGACUUUCUCAACAAAUUAACAUCCAAUGGUUUCCCCCUCCCACACAAGCUUAUUCUGAAACCAAAUUGCCCAAUAAUUCUUCUAAAAAACAUUGAUCCCCCAGAAGGCUUGUGCAAUGGAACAAGGUUAAUAUAUAAAAUUUUGACUAACAAUAUUAUUGAUGCGGUUAUAAGUGCUGGAGAAUUCAAAGGUAAACAAGUCUUUUUACAUAGAAUAUCUUUCCAAAUAGAACAUGAUACUGAUUGCCCGAUGUCAUUUGAAAUACUUCAAUUUCCUGUGCGUCUAUGUUUUGUGAUGACAAUUAAUAAAGCUCAAGGUCUAACUUUAGAUUCCGUUGGCAUAUACUUAUGUGAACCAAUUUUUUCACAUGGCUAACUAUAUGUUGCUUUAUGAAGAGUAAAAAAUAACAAUUGUGUAAAGAUUCUUAUACAGCCUUCUCCCUUUGAUCCAACAGUUGACUAUGCUACUAAUAACAUAGUAUACAAAGACAUUUUAUAGCUUGCAAGUCGCCACCUUUUAUAAUUAUUGAUUACAACAUUAUGACAUUCAUAUCCAUUGCACUUCUUCCCUAUACCUUUUCUGCGCAGCUAUAUUUCUGCACUAAUAAUAGCUUAACACCCAAUGGUUUGUCAUGCAUUGCUCUAUAUUUCACUUGCUUUUAUACUUUGUUAACCUAUAAAUAUGCAAGAAUCAAUGCUGCUAAUAGUUUAGCUGGACCUUCUUAAACUAAUAUUUAUCACUGUAUAUUUAUCUGGUAGCAUUAUACUGAUUCUCCAACAAUUACUGAUUAUCAUUCAUUUAGCCAAAAUACAUUAGAAAAAGCUAUCUUCAUAUUACAACAAAAAAUAAAGAUUAGCCAAAAAAAUUAUGAUUUAUUAUCUGUAACGCCUUCCUUACAUAGCAAGUCACUCAAGGUGUUUAAAAUAACUACUAUAUGAUUUUCUUUAGAAUAACUAACUUUGGCUAAUUUCAAUUUAAUUUGAACAGGUACUAUUUGAUUCUUCUAAAUGUGUUUUUUUACAAAUGACUAUUAUCUCUUUUUGUCAUGCUUAAUCUUCUUGUAGUAAAGUACUUAUUUUUCCAUGCUGAACAUUGAUGUCCUUUUAAUAAAUGAUAAAAUGUUGUAUAUGCAUAUAUAUUUUUCUGCCAUAUAUGAUUAUCUUCACGCCUCUGCCUUAUGUUUAAGCUUCAAAAAUUCAUAAUGCCUAGAUAUCCCUUGAGCUUGAAAUAACUGCGAUCUGUGACAAAGAUGAACUCCUUUCCAUAUUGAAGCAUAUAGACACAACUUGCUAUCUCUUACUCUUGUGUUACUUUGAGAGUUCAUGUUUUGUUCUAUUGAUUUGUGCUUACAUAUUCAUAACUGCAUCCUAUAAUUCAAUUUGUGGUUACACAUAAGGCAUCCAGGCUUUCUACAAGCUAUGUGAUCCUAAAUUCUAUGUUAAACGACAGAUGUCCAAACAUCUAAGACAUUACCAUCUCUACAUCUUCGCUGCCAGCUACCACUGCUUCAAUUCUUGAGUCAAUUUCCAUUUGAGCCACUAGCCCUUCUGAGUCAAUUUCUAUCUAUUACCGAAUACUUGCCAACCUUUCAUUUUCUCCAGACGCCCUAACAAUAAAGAAGCAAACCAUUUUCAAUCUCACUCAUUUGCAUAGACAGCAAAAUAAGGCAAAAUGGGUUAAGAACCUUCUCACCCAACUUCAGUCCUUCUUUUCCUUGAUCUACAAAGCAAAAACUUCAAAAAUUGUUUGUGCAAUUGUUGAUACGCUGACCAAAAUACUUGGUACAUUUGAUCUUCAGAUUGCCCUAUGCAAGGAAAUUGUACAAUGAAUGCAUAAUGAGAACCAAACUUUCCUCUGUCUGUGCACUAAGGCAAAACUCGCAACUCUUUUGAUGGAGAACGAGGAGUAUUCUGAAGCUCUAACUCUCCUUUCUUACACAUUAGAUAACAUUAAAUAACAAAUUGCUUUUCGUAGACAUUAGAUUGUUAAAGAGGAAGCUUCAUUACUCUUUCAAGAAUCUAUCUAAGACCAAAGCUGCACUUAUAGCUAUAACAAUACAUACUAUUUGAACAUUUACUAUUUCAUUCUCAUAAACAUUAGAACUUGUAGGCUCUUAUUAUCUCUUUAGUUACACAAUUGCUCGAGUAGUUCAGUAUUUCACCAUGAGUCUCCAACUGUUCCGCUGAAGUUGAUCUCAAAAGGUUUCAAGGUUCAAAAUUGGCUAACAAGAAAAGAAAGCUUACACAUUGAAAAAUAUUCUGUUGAAUAAGUAAUGCCUUAUGUGUAUUUCCUAUCACCUUAGCAUUGAGUUAAGCUUAUGCUUCAUUUAUGGUGCAAAUAAUGUCAAAUCUUUUGCAAAUAAUGCUUCAUUUAUUGAGUUAGUUUAUACUUUUACAACUGUCCUUAGGAAAUGUUCAAAAAAUAGAGGUUAAUGUUCAUUGCAUUUCAUCUACUCUCCUCGAGGGCACUUUUGUCAUUCCAGCCUCUUGCUUCUUCUUUUUCUUGGAGCUGGUACAACUGGUUGCUGCUUUUGUUUGGAGAAUAUGUCUUUUCUGCCCUUAUUACAAGCCUUAGUCGGAUGUUAGUGGAACAUUGGCUAUUCUAUAGAUGCUCAUUUUCCUCCUUCCAGAUGCUCAUUGAAUGGACUAAGCAUUUUGAACUCAUGUGUAAUAGAGUCAUUUCACAAUAGCCUUCUAUCUUGUACGAGAUGUUGACACAAGCUUGAACUAGCUUGUCAGUUAUUGCUUUUUUUUUUUAUAGCAAGAUACACAUAAUUCUUGCAAUUUUAUAACAAGAAACUCACACUAUUUUUAGCGAUUCUAUUGCAGGAUUACCAGAGAAGCUAAGUAUGAUUAAUGUCUCUAGCAUUAUGGUCAAUGUCUUUAGCGCUUGACAUCAUUUAAGCUAACAAUAUUAAUUUCAGCUGAACGUUGAUGUCCUUUUAAAAAAUGAUAAAAUGUUCCAUAUGCAUUUUUUUCUACCAUAUAUAAUUAUAUUACCAUAUAUAAUUAUAUUCAUAGCUCUACCUUGUGCUUAAGUUUUAGGGAGCCGUAAUACCUAUAUGUGCCUUCCUACUUAGUUUUAGCUUAUGAAAGUCAAGAUAUAUUAAAUAAUAAUAUAUUAUGUGUCAAAGAAAAACUUCUUUCCGCAUUGGAGCAUACAGACAUAACUUGCUACAAGAGCUAUUAAAUGGAACGAGCAGCUCGAAAGCUCGAUUGAGCUUGACUCGAUAAGGCUCGAGCUCGACUCGUUAAUUGUGAUAAACGAGUCGAUCUCGAGCUCGAGAUAUGCUCGUUUAAUUAACAAGCCGAAUAAACUCGACUCGUUUGUUAUCCGAAUAGCUCGAUUAGGCUCGAUAAGGAAGGGUGUAUAUGUCAUUUCACAAUACAACAGUAUAAAAUUAAAAAUUAUAAGUUUUUAUUGAGAUCAAUUUGCAAGCUCGGCUCGUUUGUGAUAAAAGAGUCGAGCUCGAGCCCCACAUGUCCCAUUUGGCGAGCCGAGUCCAAACACAUUUCAAAACUCUUCCGCCUAGUCGAGCGAGCUCGAGUUUGGCUCGAGUCGAGCUCGACAACCAAAUACUCAACUUGACUUGGCUCGAUUAGCAGCACUAUUUGCAACCUCUUAGUCUUAUGUUAGUUUCGCAGUCCAUGUUUUCUUCUACUGAUUUCUACUUGCAUUUGAUAUCAGAGCCUAGAACUUCAUGUGGUGAAAGCAGUUGCUGAUGCUAAUUCAUUGUAUGACACUUUCAGUAUUUCCUCCAUUCUAUUCUCUUGUUGCAUACUAUUGUGUUUAUACAUUUAUUCUAUUUAUAGAUUGUGUAUACAACUUUCGCUUUGCUGCUAUUAUCUAUUUCUUAUCUUCAAUUUCUUUUCUCUUAUGAUAGGUUGCAAUUUUAUCAUUUAUUUUAUUAUUAAUUUCCCUUAUUACCUGACCCAAUGUGGAUUAAUUAUUAAAUUCUACUCAUUUUUAGUAUUUUACAUUUAUUUCAGGGAGUAGAACGAAAAUAUGAUAACAAGUGUCAAUUUGACUGAAAAAGAGUCCAAAUAAUAGAGCUUAUCCCAAGGGCAUUUUUGGAACAAAUAGAUGCUAGCCCUUUUCGGUAAUUUUGUCGAAGACAACAUGGAAAAAGAACCAAAGGGCUGAAGUCUUCUUGGGAUUGCAUGGGCCGCCGCCGCACAGGAGCCAAGCUUUAGAAUGGCUAGGUAUUAGAUGGAAAGAAAAACGCAGAGAACAAGCACUAUAAAAGCUUAGCCGUGAACUUUUCCUUUCAUCUUUAGUUCCUCUUUGACUUUUCUUUUCGGUAUUUUUUGUCCUUUAGUAGCUUUGCUCCCUGCGCAUGUCAGGGAGAAUUAGGAAUUAGCUAUCACUUCUGGUAGUUUGUUUUUCUUAUCGACUGGGACGAAUUGAAUCUUCUUAACUCUCGGAGACGAUGGCCGAGACUCUUGUUUCAAUUUUGUGUGGAUUUUGUUCAUCAAUUAUGAACUAAUUUCCUCACUCUAGUCAAGGGACAACGGAUGCUUUGGGUCGCCUAAAAUUGUGAGAUCGAUUUAAUUUUAUAUUUUCUUUUUAUUUAUUGGUAUUCGCAUAUUUCCUGGUUACAGUGCUUAUGAUUGUUUAAUUAAUUGAUUGUCUUGGGUCCGGAUAAUUAGUUAAUUUGAUAAUCUAUUGUCAAUUGGGACGUUAAAUCCGUAAUUGUUUAAUUGUCUCAAAAUAGUGAUAACUGGCAUGAGUGGGUUUGUGUCAGAGGAAUAUGCGGGCUAAUCUGAAAUAACCCUGGUAAUGCGUUAUUUGGUUAGAAUAGGGCUCAUCUAAUACGUAAGGCAAUUGGAGAAUUAAAUUCUAUGGGCGUACCUAGGAUUAUUUCUCAAUUAGAGUAGUGAUUAACGGGCGUACCUUAAUCACCGACACAGUAAGGAGGGGUUGACUGUCAUCGCUUAUUUGGUAGUUAUAACCUAUUUAUUGAUAAAUAAUUGAAAGUGCCUUUGUUUCGAUGAUCAAUUAGGUGAACCAUUGCUGAAGUUAUUCCUUGGCUAGAUCUUUGAUUAAUUUUACCUUGAUUUUAGUAAAUUGCCAUUUGACUUUUAGUUGCCUAUUUUAUUUUAUUUUUAAUUGUCUUCUUGUUCUAAUUGUUUUGGAUCAUUAAUUAUUGUUACGUUAAGUUUAGUGAAUUGCCGUUUAAUUUCUAGUUAGUAUUUAUUUUUAUUUACUUAUUGGAAUUUAUUUGAUUGUCGUCGUUCCUACAAAAUUACCCCCUUGUGUUACCUUGGAUUUCUUAAGAAAUAAAUAUACCCAAUUCCUGUGGAUACGACCCUACUUGUCCUGUCUACAAAUUCAUAAUUAUUUGUGAGAAAAAAUAACCAUCCCAUUCGGGUAUAUCCGAUCAAGCAAACUCUUCGGGAACAGGGUGAAUCAAAUAACCCAUUGCACACCUAGAGUCCCUGCUCCAGUACUUGAAAUUGGAUUUUGGUCAUUUUAACUGGCAAUUAGGUUUAAUUUUACUAUUGUACAGGCCUCGACGCUCUGUCAAUUUUUGGCGCCGUUGCCGGGGACUGGCGUUAUUAUUUGUUUCUUUUAAAUUCAUUCUUGUUUUAAUUUUCUAGUGCUUUUCUAGUGUAUGCCUCGGUCUUCUCGUACAGGUGAUUUGAUUUUUGACCCUGAAGUAGAGAAGACUGCGCAUAGAACGAGAAAGAAAACCAGACAGUUCAAAAAGGAGCACUCCAGUGCUGCAUCUCAGAGACCUGAGCCAGAAGUUGAACCAAUAGAUUUGUUUGAUGACACUUCAAGUGACUCUGACUAGGAGAAAGGAACCAUGGCUAAUGCACGAAUAUUAAGGGAGUUGGCUGCUCCUAACUUAAAUCAGCAGCCUUUGUGCAUUACUUUCCUAAAUUUAGAUGAUAGCAUUCCAUUUGAAUUAAAAUCUGGCCUAAUUCAUCUUUUACCUUCCUUUCAUGGUUUACCAGGUGAGGAGCCGUAUAAGCAUCUGCAGGAGUUUGAUGUUGUGUGCAACAGUAUGAAACACCCGGAAAUCACAGAAGAGCAAAUAAAAAUGAGGGCAUUCCCCUUUUCCUUGAAGGAUUCUGCAAAGGACUGGCUGUACUACCUGCCACCAGGUAGCAUUACCACGUGGGACUAAUUAAAGAAAAAUUUUUUGGAUAAAUAUUUUCCUGCGUCCAGGACUGCAAGUCUAAGGAAAGAAAUUUGCGGGAUCAAGCAGCACCCAGGGGAGUCACUCUAUGAGUAUUGGGAGCGAUUCAAGAAGUUGUGCAACAAAUGCCCUCAGCACCAGAUAAGUGAGCAGUUGCUCAUACAGUAUUUUUAUGAGGGCUUCUUUUCAGAGAUAGGAGCAUAAUUGAUGCUGCAAGUGGAGGGGCACUGGUGAACAAAACCCCUCGGAAAGCACGGGCGUUAAUAAAGGGGAUGGCAGAGAAUUCGCAGCAAUUUGGUACGAGGGAGGAUGCUCCGAUACGCAAAGUGAACGAGGUAGAGACAUUCUCUAUCCAGUAGCAGUUGACUGAAUUGACUUCUUUUGUUAGACAACUGGCUAUAGGAAAUGCAUAUCAGGUCAAGGUGUGCGGGUUUUGCACUGGUAUGGGUCAUUCUACAGACAUGUGCCCAAUGAUUUACGAAGAAAGUGCAGAGCAAGUGAACAUGGCUGGUCACGCGUCCGCGCCAAGAAGGCCCUAUGACCCCUAUUCAAGUACCUACAACCCUGGUUGGAGGGACCACCCUAACCUCAGUUAUGGAGGGAACAGGCAGACUAACUUCGUGCCAAAUAAAUAACAAGGGUACCAGCAGCAGAACCAACCUCGACCAGCUCCGCCCCCAAGCUCUGGUCCAUUUUUGGAGGAAAUGAUGAAACAACUGAUGGCAACCAUUACGCAAAAUCAGCAAAGGACGGACUCUGAAAUGCAGGAUAUAAGGAAUCAAAUGAGUCAAAUGGCCACAAAAAUCAACCGUUUGGACUCCCAAGUAAAUGGAAGAUUGCCAUCCCAACCUGAACUGAACCUGAAGAACGUAAGUGCAAUGACUUUAACGAGUGGGAAGGAAAUUCAGGGGCCCGAACUUGUGACUCCAAAGGAUAAGGACGAAGAGAAGAUUGAGAAAGAACUUCAAGCAGAGAAUACAAGUACCAAAAAUCCAGUGGUACUCCCUGAUCCGAUCAUAGACGUUAAAACUAAUCCCACUCCAUUUCCUUGCAAGUUGGAGAAAUCGAAGAAACAGGACAAUGAGAAAGAGAUCUUGGAGGUGUUCUGCAAGGUAGAGAUCAAUAUUCCCUUACUAGACACCAUCAAGCAAGUGCCGAAGUAUGCAAAAUUUCUGAGGGAUCUAUGUGUCAAUCGAAAGAGGCUGAGGGAAGAUGAAAGAGUUAUUGUUGGGGAGAAUGUGUCAGCAGUUCUCCAAAGAAAACUCCCACCAAAGUAUGGGGAUCCAGGUAGAUUUACUGUCCCAUAUAAGAUAGGUAAUACUCUGAUUAGGAAUACCCUGCUGGAUUUAGGAGUAUCGAUCAACGUAAUGCCUAAAUCUAUGUAUGCUUUUUUGAACCUCGGUCCAUUAAAAAAAUCGAGAUAAUAAUUCAAUUAGCUGACCGAACAAAUGCAUACCCUGAUGGGUUGGUAGAGGAUGUGCUGGUUAAAGUUAAUGAAUUGAUAUUCCCGGCUGACUUUUAUGUACUUGACAUGGAUGAUGAUCAUUCCCCUAACCCCUCACCUUUGCUACUAGGUAGACACUUUUUGAGCACAACACAGACAAAAAUUGACGUUAAUAAGGGUACAUUGUCCAUGAAAUUUGAUGAAGAACUAGUCCACUUUAAUAUUUUCGAUACAAUGGAACAUCCUGUUAACUCUCACCCUGUGUUUGCUAUUCAUGCUAUUAAUCCCUCUGUGCAAGAAUUUUCUGAAUUUGCUUGUAGGGAUAAAUUCAAAUUUAUUGAGAACAAGUAUAAGGGGAUGAAAGUAUUGUAUGAGGUGAAAAGGAGUAGAAAAUUAAGAAAGAAAGCUGCACUCAAAGGCUAUUUGGAUCCUGGAGGAGGGCCACCGAUUUCCAGGAAAAUUGAGUUACACCCAAAUUGAAGAGUGGUGUUCAAUGUCUAGCCAAACACAUUAAAAAAAGGCGCUCAUUGGGAGGUAACCCAAUUGUUUCUUUUAAUUGUUUGUUUGAUUUCGUGUGAUAGUUUAAAUAUGUUUUCCUUGAAUUUGACUGAUUUCGGGUUUCAAUUUUCGUUUUUGAUGAUUUGUAGGUGUCCUUCUAUCAUGACAUGCCCGCGUCAUGACGUAUGGAGAGCUCACGGUCAGAAUCGUCAGAAGGGAUUCCUGCCCUCAUGACGCGCCCGCGUCAUAACGUAUAGAAAGCUCACGAUCAGAAUCGUCAGAAAGGGUUUCAGUCCUCAUGACGUGCCCGCGUCAAGUCCCAUGAAGAGCUCAUGAUCAGAGAGCUCUCUUGCUCUCAUGACGUGCCCGCGUCAAGUAACCUGAAAAGCUCUUCACUCCGUGCCUUCGUCACAUGCCCACGUCACAUUCGCGGGAAAGGUAAGUAUUCAAAAAAAAACUCAAGAACGAUUAUUGAUUUCCUGUUAAUCUCUACUUUUGAAUUCCAAAAAUAAAUUUUGUUAAUAAUUAAAAAAAAAGAUGAUAUAUGUAAAAAAAAUUCCAAAAAAAAAAAUUUUCAAGUAAGUAACAAGGAGAAAAAAAAAAGGGGAGUCUUUCCGUGAAAAAAAAAAAAAUUUCUAAAAUGAAAAAAAAAACGAAAAAGCAAAAAAAAAAAAAAGCAGAAAUACUAUUUUCUUUUUCUUUUUCUUUCUUCCCUAUUCUUUCUUUUCUUUCCUUUUCUUUUUUCUUCUUUCGAAUUUGUGGUUCAAGGCAUGUUGUGGAGAGCACAAGGCAUAUUUUCCUCAAUUUGAACCAUACUUCAGGAAUUAAAAUAAUUUUUUCUUUUUUUAUUUUUCUUUCAAUUUAUCUAAUUUUUAAUAUUCAUUUUUAAGAUUUAAAAUAAUUAUUGAUUCAAAACUAUUAUGGAAGCAAAUAUAUGGUUUUUAUAAAAUAAUAAACAAAAACUUUUUUCUAUUUUUUUGGAUUGCUUCAAGGUUAAUAAAAUAAAAAUAUGUUCUUUUUUUAAUGCAGCAUGGCCUCAAUAAGGGCAUUUUCGGUAUUAAGGGGAUUUUUGUUAAAUGUUUAAUCAUUCAAAGGGUGAGACCGUUAUUUGGACAAAUUACAGGGAUUAAUUGGUAAUAUGGUCAAAUCUCAGGGGAGGUAAAUGUAAUUAACCCUAUCUUUAGUUAUGAUAAUCCGCUUGCGAUCAUUACUGAUUUCACAAUCACUGUCUUUGGAUACCAUUCUAUGAAACAUUUCCAGUUUUUUUUUUUUUUCUACUUGUAAUUGAAGAUAAUUUCCACAGAACUAGUCAAUAAUAAUCCACCAUCAACUGUGAGAAAGCAAAACACCUACAAAUCAAUUGCAAGUGCGAAGGCUCUGAUUUGGUGCUGAAUUGGGCACUUAUUCGUGCCAAUUCAAUCCUAAAUUUUCCUUCCCCAUUCUUCAACCUUUCAAUAUCCAGUUACAAGAAGAACAAAAAAUAGUGAACAACCAUCAAUUCAGUUUUGGCAUUUUUCCAACAUGCUUGCUUGAUUGCUAUGACCGUAGGGCAGUUUCCUUUUUCCGUUAAUCUAAUUCCGUGAUGGGUCAAUAGAAAAUUCAUCCGAAUUCAGUCUUUCUCACGUAAGAAGAAUAUAUGAUUACAAAUGACCAAAUAAAUUAAAGAGGGACAAAUUCAAGAAGACCAAUAAUAUAAAAAUUCCAAACAUCCAUAGGUUGCACACAAUAAUUCUCACAAAUUUUAAGUUAUAAAAAAAGAAAUUUUGCAAAGGAGGGCCCUACUUCGAUGCUGGCACCGUGACGAUGAACUGCCAGAUUGGGGUCUCUUUCAUGUUUUGGUUUAUCCUUUUUAGGGUUGUUAAAAAUUAAAUUUGGGGAGAUAAGGUUGACGAUUGAUGAAAUCUGAUGAAGAAAGUUGUUUUUUCUAUGGCAUAUUGAAGAAUGGUGGUAUAUUCGAUCAAUGGUAUCCAAUAGUCUUGAAAUAGAAACACAAUUUUUUUUUUAUUUAAAAGAGACUUUUGUUUGUUUUUUAAAUUGAUAUGCAUCACAAAGUGUAUCCUUUUUAAGUUAAUUUUGAGCAAACCUCUAAUGAGUUCCUUUGUGAAAAUUUCAUUUAAUAAAUCCAUAUUGAAAUGACAAAGCCUUCUAUUCCGCAGUUAAGGAUCAUCAUUUGUAACCUUAAGACACUAAUCUUACUAUCAUCAAUUUUUCAAGAUAUAUCACAUAAAUAUCAUUGUAUCUUUUGCCUUUGAAUACAACAUUAAAAUUAGUAUCAAGAAUCAAAUAUUCAUGCCUUUUAAACAAUACAUAAAGAUAUCUAUCACAUAAUUGAUUAACACUGAACGAAUUAUAGCUUAAGUUAUGAACCAAAACAAUAUUUUGAAUGAAAGUGUCACCGUUUUUGUCAAUAUCUCCUAUUCAAAUGGUUUUAACCUUCAUGUCAUCUCUAAAGGUGAUCUUUUCACUACUUUCUAGCUUGAACUUGAUGAAUAGAGGUGGAAUACCAGUCAUGUGCCUUAAACACCUAUUAUCAAUGAACCACUUUAAUCCUUUAGUGGUGUUCUUCAAGUAUACCUAUAUAUAAAAAUCAAGAAAUGAUAUUUGGUACCUUUUUAUUAUUUGAUCCGUAAUUGUUAGUACAAGAUUUAAAUAUCCACAUGCUAUUAGGAAUACUAAUUUCUUAUCCAAGUGGUUUCUUUCCCAACAAAUCUAGUGAAUUAUAAAUAAGACAUUAUUUAGGAUGUUUUCUAGAGAGAGAGAGUGUAGAAAAAUUUGUUAGGUUUUCUACAAUGGUUUUACUUUUUUUUACGAUUUGAGAUUUCAAUAAUAUUGUGAGUUGAUUAUUUUCUUCUCUCCUACACUUUUUUUGAACGUCUAUUUUAUCCCUUCAAUCCUAUAACCCUACACACAUUGGUUAUUAUUAAAACCCUAAAAUUUAGGUUCCACAGAUCUCAGAUGGUAGAGGAUUCCAAUGACUAGAGAAAACUAGGAGUUCUGUACGGAACGGAAUAUUUCAAUGAACAUCUUUUUUUAGGUGUUAAUGGAGUUUAUUAUAUGGCAAAUUACACUUUACCCUGUGAUUUAGUGUUUUUCUACAUAACCCCCCUAUAGUUUCAAAAGUUAUACAUAACUCCCUCAUGAUUUGGAUUAAAGUGUCAAAGUGACGGAAAUGAGUAUUCAUAACGGAGUCAUUUAAAAUGUCAAAAAUAUCCUUAUGUAAAAUUGAAAAUUAUUUGUUAACCAAAGGGGGUUAUGUGUAUAUUUUGAAAAUCAUAAGGGGGUUAUAUGAUAAAGUAUUAAACUAUAAGUGAGUUAUAUAGUAAACUAUAAAAUCAUACGGGGUUAGUGUAUCAUGUAUUUAUAAAGGUAACUUUGACGUUUUUAAAGAUUCUGUUACGAAUGAUAAUUUCCGUUACUUUGACACUUUAAUUUAAAUUGUGAGGAGGUUAUAUAUAAUUUUUGAAACUAUAGAGAGAUUAUGUGAAAAAUCGCUAAAUGAUAGGAGAGUAAAGUGUAAUUUGCCCUUUAUUAUAUAGUUAGUGUGUUUUGGUAACUCUUUAGUGAUUUGACAAUGCAUGUGUUGGGUUUAGUGGUCGUUUUGUCCUCUGCUACUUUCGGGUGAAUUCUUGUUUUUUCAAUAAUAUCGUGUUUUAUCAAACAACAUCGAAUCAACAAUAGCUAUAAAUAUCUUGACUGAUCAUGCCGACCGUACUACUAUCAUCUUUCUGUCUGUAUCAUAGAGAGUGUUUGGAUAGAAUAUUAUUUGAAAUGUUAUUGAAAAUAAUUAAUGUAACACUUUUUGUAAUAUAAUGUAUGUGAGAUAAAAAUAUAAUUAAAAAUAUAAAAAAUAGAUUGAGAAAUAUGUUUAUGAUACAAAUAAAAUAUUAUUUAACAAAAUUGAGUUAUCACGGCUCAAGUGGGGGCUAUUGCCCCUACUUAAGUUUUAAAAAAAAAAAACUCUAUAAACAAAUUUAGACACUCUCUAACUCAAAAUCGACAUUUCUGUCUUAUUAAAAUAGAUAAAUAGACAGGUAUAGUGGCCUUCUCCUCAUUUUCUUCUUAUCUUCUAGUAGCGACAUCCAUGGACCAGAUUGAAAAUAUAAUGCUGUUUUUAUGCGUUUUGCCGUUUACAUGAGCUUUGAUACCAAAAUGACAAAACACAUAGGCCCACCAUUGGCUCCUUUUCAAGUAUUCCUUAAAAACUUUCGAAUUAUCAUCGCUAAAUGAACAGGGCAAAGUUGGGAUAUUGAGCAGAUUUCCUUCUUUUUUUCUAACAUUUUCUUGACGAAAGCAGAUUUCCUUCUUCAAUGCUUUUUCUUUUUAGCUGAUAAGACGUUUAUGUUGAAAAAUUGCUAUUGCUACUGAUCGAGAUGCGGCGCGACAAAUAGGUUGGGAAGGAGGUAAUAAUAAUUAGUACGUGCUCCAAUGCAAACACAUGUGAGUAGACACGGAAAUAACUAUUUUAUUGAGUCUCAAAUAUUCAGCGAAUUUCUAGAAAUAAUACUAAAUUUAGAAAAUUUUCUCCACUUAGAGUUGCCGUAUUUUUCAAAUGUAGCAACAACAAAACAGUAUUUUUAUUUUGAAUUAUUUUUUGGUGUCACAAAUGCGGCGACAAUUAAAGAGUAUUUUUUUUGAAUUAUUUUUUGGUGUCAGAAUGACUAAAAUUUUUUAUUUUUUUAUACAUCUUCGCGGGCGACUGUGAAAAUGACCAUUUGGAUGCGGCGACACCAAGAUGUGAGAAGUCUUAACCGUCAAGUUUCUUUAUAUUAGAUCUAAAUUUUAUCAGAUUUGUUGUUGAAGCUGAGAUUUCUUAGAUCUAUCUCGUCGGAUCUCACUUUAACAUUAGGCUUAAAUCACUUCAUUAGCAUAUCUCGGAGGAAGCAAACGGUACAUUUGAAAGUAUUUUUGAGACUAUAAGUGCUUUAUUAUUCGAUAUUUUUCGAGUUCUGCAGUACAAUUAUCUAGUAUAUAUUUGAAAGUAUAUUUUGUUGGUUUUUCAAAACUGUAAUAUCUAGUAUUUGUUCUUCGAAUAUGUUGCCACUAGUACGGAUUUGAUAAAAUGAUGAUGAUUUUAUCCCCAAAAAAAAGACUAUAGAAUUAAGCCCGUACAAAUGCUUGGGCGGGGGGGGGGGGUUGUGUAGGCAGUGGGUAGUAAAAGGUUGUGGACAAAAUUGAAGAAAACAAAUUAGUAGGGCACAACGUGACAAAGUUUUUCAUAAAGUAUAAGACCAUCAACGAACAGGUAUUGUGAAGUGAAAUGAAAGAGACCUUGAAAACUUAUCCUCCUUAAAAAAAAAAAAAAAAAAAAAAAAUUAUCUUCACAAAAAUUUCAAGGUCAUCCAGCCUGCAACAUUCAUGUUUGCAUUGAAGAUUGUUCAUGUGUCAAUCACGAGUCUUUGUCUAUAUCUCCUUGUGCCAUGAGACUAUAUAGGGCCAGUUUGGAACCUGAGUUUUUUGGAAGUUUGUUUAAAAUUUUACUGUAGUGCACUGUAGAAAUUUUUGAAAAAUUUUUGUAAAAGUUUUUGCAAGGUGAAAAACUUUUUUUUCUUUCAUUUUCUCUUUCUAUUUCUAUUUCUAUUUCUUUCUUUCCUUUUUCUUUUCUUUCCUCCCUUCUUCUUCUUCUUCUUCUUUUUCCUUCCCCCUCCCCCUUCCCCGUUACCUCUGUCUCCCACCUCCAGCACCUCCGCCAGCACCACCUCUUUUUUUUUUUUUUUGCUUUUCUCCUCCCCCCCCUCCCUUUCCCUCUCCCUCGCUCUCUCCCGCCACCCCUAAACUUUUUCACCAUCCCUUUCCUCUCCCCUCUGCUCGCCACCCCCUCUACCCACCAUCCCUUUCCUCCCUCUCCCUUGCUACCCCUCUGCCCCCCACCCCCUAGGCCCGCCACCCCUCCCUCUCCCUCCCCCGCCAUCCUUCUCUGCCCACCAAUGUCACCGCCUGCAUCAUCUCCAUCCGGAAGCCCACGUGAGUUCUGCAGUUCCGACCAUUGUAGAGGUUCCAUCCGUGGGUGCCAGUGUUCCUUCCACUUUCUAUGUCUUCCUCUUCCAACGACAACAGCCGUGUGGUGCAGGGCGGAGCGUGGUGGAGGGGAUGGAAGUGCAAUUGCCGAAGUUCUGACUCGGAUUGCAGCGCCCAGGAAAUGGAGAAUCGCUCAACAAGCUUCUCGUUGCUCGCGCAAUGAUACUUACUCCGGCGAAUUGCUUGGUCGACUCCGGACAACUUUCUGUGCUUUGAAAGAAAAACCGGGAAGAGUUUUGUGUGCUUUUUGUGAAUUGAAAGGGAAAAAACCAGCUUGGACGACGUUGUCUUGUUAAAAUGUUUCAGAAAGGGACGAAAGUUUUGAGAAAAGUUUUUGGGGUUCCUGUAGCAUAAGUUGUUAAAAAACUAGUAUAAUACAAACUUGCUCAAAAACUAGGCUUCCAAACAGGCCCUAUCAUGUAGAUAUUGUAAAUUAAUAUGGUUCUUUUUCUUUUUUCAGUAAUCUAUCCCUAUCAAAAACUUAGAAUGUCCAUUCUCUAAUUUAUAAAAUUAUAAAACUAUAUACUAUUUACUUUUCUCAUAUUGUACUUUACCACCACGCACCAUCAAUUAGAGUAAUCCUCAGAUUUAUUGGACAUUGAUUGUUAAGUUGAGCAUGAUAUCAACUAUUUUUACUAUAUUUGUAUUAUAUUUUGUAUUUUAAAUUUUAUAUAGUUGUUUACUUUAACUCUUUUGUACGAAUAUUUGUUAAGAAAAAAAUUUCAAAGACAAAAAAAAAAAAAGCUGAUGCAAGCAAAAGUAAACAACCAGACAUUGCAUAUCCUUCAAUUUGAUUUAUUUUAGCGUAUUUGACCAAAAUUAUUACAAAGGGCUUAAUCCAACCAAAUGUCUCGAGUAGCUCACUAACUAGUUUUCUUGAUUUAAUGCACUUAGUCACACCACGUCUCACUCUCAUUAUAAUUAACAAUGAGAAGGGAUCCUCUUGAAAACAUCAGAUGCAGAAGAAAGCCACUUGUUAUAGACCCAUACCUUGGUCCGUAUCCAACGUCAAAUAUAUUUGUUUGGAUAGUAAACUUAUUCCAAAUAAUAUUUCGCUUGCAUCAUAAACACAUUUUUCAACCCAUCUUUUUAUAUUUCCAAUCACCUUUUUAUUUCGCAUACAUCACGUCACAAAAAGUACUACAGUAAUUAUUCCAAAUAAUAUUUCAAAUAAUACUCUAUCCAAGCAAGAACUAGGAACAAUCCAUAUGUUUACGAAAGCAGUUCUAGCAAUUGGUCAGAUCUAAUGGCCUGUAACUCACAUCGUAAUAUUUUAUAUUUUAUAAUUCUGUUAAAUUUAAUGAUUUUUCAAAUUAGAUAUAUCUUUCAUAUGUUUUAUAUAUUUUCUGCCAUUACUGGUCUUUUUUCGUCAAACAAAUCGUGAUAGAUGAUUUUCAAUUAGUUUAUUAAUAAUAUUGACUCCUAUUUUAUCAAAAAAAAAAAAAAAGAACUAGGAACAAUCGAAACAAUCACUAGGCACAGGCACAUACCAGAAGGAUGUUGCUUGAGCUUAUCAAUAUGAACCCACGCAAUCAGCAGACUGCCUUUUGCCGAUGCCGCACUAAGGCUUCUUAAGUUUAUUUUAUCAACUCAACAAUCCAAUAUCCAAUGACUUUGGAAAAACUGUGUGGAAAUUUAUCCUCAAACGAGAUCAAGAUCUAUGAAGUUUCACGAAACCGUGCUCAUAGGACUAGGGUCUUGUUUGGUAGAUAAGUUUUUUGUCAAAUUUAUCUGUUACAAGUUUUUUAAAAACUUUAACUACAAUAAUCUCAAAAAACUUCUCAAAGUUUUUAAACUAUACACAUUAAAAUAUUAAAAAAAACACACUUUAAAAUUUUUUUUAAAAACUUCUACAGUAAGUUAUAGUAAAAUUUUAAACAAACACCCAAAAAAUUCACUUGCCAAACGUUGUCAUUACACUCUUAUAUGUCUUCUCAUCUUUAAUUACUGAUGUCACAGUCACUAUCUUAGGAUGCCAUUCUAUGAAACACGUAGUUUAAGCAUUUUUGCCAACAUGCCAUGACCAUAAGGCAGUUUCAUUUUUUCCUUUAAUCAAGCUUGAUAAUGAGUCAAUACAAAAUUCUCAUCCGAAUUCAGUCUCCCUCACGUAAAAAGAUUAUAUGAUUACAAAACUGCAUACAAAUGACCCAAAAAAAAAAAUUUAAGAGGGACUGAUUCAAGAAGUCUAAGAAAUAAAAUAUCCAUACAUCCAUACCUUGGGCUCUUUUUAAAAAUUUUUUUUUAUUAUGCUGUUUUGGUUUAUCCUCUUUUGGGGGUUUCAAAAUUAAAUUUGGGGAGAUAAGGUUGAUGAUGUGAUGAAAUCUGACGAAAAAAUGGUUGUUCGAAGGACGGUAAAAUUAAUUGAAGAGCGGAUGAAUUGAUACUGUAGCUGCAGAAGGUAAAAUUUAAUUACCUCAAUUUGUUCCUUAUUACUCAUUUGCAUGUCUCUCACUUUAGGAUAACCUGCCAUUAUUUGGCCUCUGUGGAUUUGAUGAUCAUCAUUUUAGGAUUUGAUGAUCUCAUUUUAGUUCUGUACGGAAUGGAAUAUUUCAAUGAACAUAUUUUCUUAGGUGUUAAUGGAGUUUAUUAUAUAGUCAGUUUUGGAAACUCUUUAGUGAUUUGACAAUGCAUGUGUAUGGUUAGUUGUCGUUUUAUCAAUAAUAUCGUGUUUUUUCAAUAACAUCGAAUCGAUAAUAGCUAUAAAUAUCUUGACUGAUCAUGCCGACUGUACUAUUCUCAUUUUUCUUAUCAUAUGGAGUGUUUGGAUAGAAUAUUAUUUGAAAUAUUAUUUAAAAUAAUUAAUGUAGUAUUUUUUUAUAAUGUGAUAUAUAUGAAAUAAAAAAGUGAUUAAAAAUAUUAAAAAAUGAAUUGAAAAAUGUGUUUAUUUCUUUCAAAAAAAUUAUGUUUAUGAUACAAGCGAAAUAUUAUUUGAUAAAAUUGAGCUAUCAUGGCUGAGGUGGAGGCUAUUGCCCCUGCUUCAUUUUUUUUUAAAAAAAAACUCUAUAUAUUAUGUAUAUCAAGUAUUUUUGGUCCCACCAAAAAUGAUACAUUUGCGGUCGAUAUUAAUUGGGAGUAAAAGUGCAAACAAAUUUAGAGACUCUCUAACUCAAAAUCGACAUUUCUGGCCUUAUUAAAAUAGAUAAAUAGACUGAUAGAGUAGCCUUCUCCUUCUUUUCUCCUUAUUUUCUAUUCCCUCUGUCCCAUUCAUUUGGUUAUACUUUUCAUUUUGAAAUGUCCCAAAAUAAUUGUCAUGUUAGAAAAGUCAAAUCAACUUUUACACUCUCUUUUCAAUAUAAUCCUUUUUUUUAAUCAUACAUUCAAAUUUAAAAUUUGAAUUUGAGGGGGUAAAAUUGGAAAGAAAAGCACAAACAUCACAAUUAAACCACUAUUCUUAAAAAGUUGGAUUCCCCAAACAUAACCAAAUGAAUGGGACGGAGGGAGUAAUAGCGACAUCUACGGACUGGAUUGAAAAUAUAAUGCUGUUUUUAUUUUCUAUGUCACAAAAUGAUUGUCACUUGCUAAUAUUGACAAACCAUUUUUAUUCAAUUUUCGUCUUUCAACCAACCAUUAAGGUGAAAGAGGAAAGUGUAGAUUAAAGCUAUAAUUAUUGGUUUACAAAGUUGAAAAGUAAGUGGAAAAAUGACAAAACACAUAGGCCCACCAUUGGCUCCUUUUCAAGGAUUCCUAAAAAACUUUUGAAUUGUCAUCACUAAAUGAACAGGGCAAAGUUGGGAUAUUUUUCAGAUUUCCUUCUUCAAUGAUUUUUCUUUUUAGCUGAUAAGACUUUUAUGUUGACAAAUUGCUAUUACUACUGAUCGACAUGCGACGCGACUAAUAAAUUGGGAAGGAAGUAAUAAUAAUUAGUACGUACCAAAUGCAAACACUUGUGAGUAGACACGAAAAUUACUAUUUUAGUGUGUUUUAAAUAUUCGGCGAAUUUCUAGAAAUAAUGCUAAAUUUAGAAAAUAUCCCAUUUAUGGUAUUUCAUGAGAUUGUUUUCUUUACUUAGAGUCAUCUUUGACAAUAAAAUAGUAUUUUUAUUUUGAAUUAUUUUUUGGUGUCAGAAUGACUAAAAGUUUUAAUUUUUUUAUACAUCUUUGCGGGUGACUGUGAAAAUGACCAUUAGCCGCAUCCAAAAAGUGGAUGCGGCGACGCAAGAUGUCAGAAAUCUUAACCGUCAAGUUUUCUUAUUAUUUAUUUGGGAGCAAAUUAUCCCAGUGGCCACUAAACUUUUGCCAUCGUCGAGUUUUGGUCACUCAACUAUUAAAAGGCUGGUUUUGACCAUCAAACUGUAUAAAAGGUAGACUCGAACCCAUUCUGUUAGAUUUAGUCGUUAACUUCGCAGAGGUGUCCGUUUGCGCGAUUUCCAAUACAAAAGGUAGGGUCAAUUUAGAAAGUCGAAAAUAGAUCUUCUUGUUCUUCUUGUAUAAAGCUAAUAAAGAUUACUUACCCGAGAGAAACUACAAGAGAAGGAAAUGGAAGAAGCCCAACUUGGAUUAGAGGAAGCAGGACCAAGAUCAACGCCACCAAGAGCCGGGCCAGCAAGAUCCAUGCCACCUACAUCGUUGACACCCAUUUUGCCUACUUGUGUUUGUGGGAUGAAGACAGUAAUGAUAACUUCAUGGACUGUACAAAAUCCGGGAAGAAGAUUUGCCAAAUGCGCAUUGGGGGAGGUUUGUAACAUUUUUUUAGAUACUUAAUUUAUUAUUGUGUAAGAAAUAUAAUGAAUUUGUUUUUUUUUUAAGGAUGGCUGUGGCUAUUGGGGUUGGAUAGAUGAUGAAAUGUGCGCUCGAUCUACAAUGAUUAUACCGGGUCUACUCAGAAAGAUCAAUGGAAUGGAGGAAAAAAUGGUUGAAUUUGAAAAAGCUGCAAGAAAGUAGGAAGCAAAAGCUGUGAAAUUGGAGGGUAAAAUGAAGCCACUUCAAAUUAAAAUUGCCAAGUACAAAUCAGCCAAUAAGCGACUCAUUCGAUGCGCAGUGUUGCCUUGGCUAAUAGUUGUCUUAGCAAUGUUAGUUAUGAGAAUAGGUAAUUCUGGUGGCAUGCUACAAAUUUGUGGCAUCGUUGAAAAUCCUUGAAGAAUAGCUACUCUGUUGUAAUGGUAGCAUAUUGAAAGGGAAAGGGCAAAUGGCUUUAUAAAGCCCCUUUUGUACUCCUCUGUAUAAACAUUUUGAUGUAUAAAAGUUGUAUUGUUCACAUGAAUAAAUAGUUAUUAUUUGGUGUCAAAAAAGGUUUGAAACAACACAUUUCAGUUCUAUUAAUUUCAUCAAUAAAUGACAAAGACAUAAGAACUAAACAAAAGUGCUGCAUUAACAUAGAACAAUCUGUGUAGAUUGGACAAAAUAAAUUGUUUGUACAUAUGGACCAUGUUCGUAAUAGGUCAGUAUAUCAAAUCCAAAACAAACUUCAUACAAAAAGACAAAAUGUAGUUGAAUUAUGUCCCAAUCUAGCUAUAGCUUUCUUCCUCUUCAAUUUGAUCCUCUUUUGACUCUUGGUUGUCCUCUGGUAGUUGUUGCUGAAGUUCCUCCUCUUCUAAUACCAGUUCUACUCCAUUUUCCUCUCCAAUUUCCAACAGUGAAAGGAGGUUCUUUACUUAAAUAUGCAUAAUUGACAUUGAUCCGCCCCUUUUCUGAAUCUGUUAACUUUCGUUUUCCUGCUUUCCUUUGUUGAUGAGCCCCUUGGCUCUGAGACUGUUGUUGGUUUUGUACAACUUCUUCCUGCUGUCGAUGCUGUGCAUGUUCACUUUCCUCAACAGCAGAUUGUGAUUGCUGUUCUUGUUGGUUCUGCUGAUACUCUUGAUCCUGCUGCUGCUGUUGAUUCUGUUGCUAUUGCUGAUCCUGCUGCUGUUGCUGCUGCUGAUGUUGAUUUUGUUGCUGCUGCUGCUGAUUUUGCUGCUGCUGAUAUUGAUCCUGCUGCUGGUGUUGCUGGUGCUGUUGUUGGGUCUGCUGCUGCCUCUGGUGCUGCUGUUGGGCCUGAUGAUGCUGCAUCUGAUGCUGGUGUUGGGUCUGAUGUUGCCUCUGGUGCUAGUGUUGGGUCUGAUGUUGCCUCUGGUGCUGGUGUUGGGUCUGUUCAUGCUGACUCUGGUGCUGGUGUUGGUUCUGCUGUUGCUGCUGCAUAUUCUUAGAACCACGCUGCUGCUGUUGGUUCUGCUCCUGCUCCUCGCUAUCCUGAUUCUGCUGUUGUUGAUUGUCUUGUUGCUGCACCUUGCAACCAGCUGCAUUAUGGCCGGCAACACCACAUUUUCUGCAAUGGUUGACUAUUCUUCUCCGCAACCUGUUUCCAGUCUUUUGAGUUUCAGUAGGAUCUCUUCUCCUGGCCUUCUUAGGUCUGCCAGGUUGCACUAUCCUUUCUGGUGGAUCAAGAUCUACCCCAUCAGCUUCAGGCCACAUUACUUGUCCAUUGAUAGGAUACAAAACAUUUUUGUAAAUUUUUUGAAACAGAUCUCUGUUGUAGCAGUCAUACACCUCUUUAUAGGGGUCGCCAUUAUUUCUGUGAAUUGCUGCAAUAGCAUGACAGCAAGGAAUACUUGAUAGAUCCCACAGUUUGCAUGUGCAGGAUUUUUUCUUUAAAUAAACAGCAAACUGGGCCCCCCUUGGUCCCCUAACCUGGUAUCCAUCCACAGCAUUCCAAAUGGUCCUCCAUUGUCUUGAUUCUAUCACCCUAUCAUCAAUUAUUUUUUUAAUUAGUGGGCCAAUGGACAAUUCAAAUUUCUCCAUUGCAGUUGUCCUUCUCUGUAUCCUCUCCAUCAGAAAUAUCCUAAUGGACUCUAACAUUGUGAUAAUUGACUGCUGCCUAGCUUCAAGUAUAUGACCAUUAAAACUUUCACACAAAUUAUUAACCAACAUAUCGCAUCGAGUAUGUUCUUAAAAAAAAGUCUUACACCAAUGACUGGGAUGUGGUGCUUUCUUCACCCAUUCAUAUGCUUCCUUGUCAAAUUUUUCCAGAUCUGCUGCUGCUUUCUUGAAUAGUCCCUCAGUAGUACUUGCUGCAAUGUUCCACAGUUUUGUCUUCAGGGCAAGUCCACGAUGUUUCUUCUUGAAGUUGUUAUAUAGGUACUGCACACAGUAUCUGUGCUCACUGUUUGGUAGUACCUCAGAUAAUGCUCGGUCAAGACCCUAUAAAUUAUUACAAACAAAAGGCAUUAGUAAAUUGAAACAGAUCCGUGUACAGUGCAUAUACAAAGGGAAGGAGUUAAUACCUUCUGCUGGUCAGAAACAAAGGUGUAGCUGUACCCAUUUUCAAUCUGCAAGUCAUUCUUCAGCAGCUCAAAAAACCAUUUCCACUGUUCAGUUGCUUCCCUCUCAACCACUGCCCAAGCAAUGGGCCACCAUCCAUUGUUGGGAUCUACUCCAAUAGCAGUCAACAGAUGUCCCCGAUAUUCAGCCUUUAUGUGGCAUCCAUCAACCCCAAUAAUGGGCCUACAACCGUCAAGAAAGCCUUGUUUUAAUGGUCCCAAACAGCAAUAAAGUCUCAUGAAUUUUGGGUUGCAUCCAGGUUGUCUGAAGGGAGUAAACAUAACUUCCAUUGUGGUAUUUGGGUGUGUCCUCUUAAUUUCUGCACAAUAUCUCCAUAUGUCCUUAUAUUGCUACUCUGCAUUCCCUUGAAUCUCCUUUUUAGCAAUUGUCCUUGCAUUGUAUGCCACCCAUUUUGAAAUUUUCGCUUUGAAGUCCUCAUCAACUAUUUGUUUUAAUAAUCUUGGAGGCAUUUCAACAUUACAUCUAAAUCUCUCCAUGUACUUGUUUGCAAGCCACUUAGCAGAAAUAUUCUUGUUCUUCCAUACAUGACUGCAGUUUGUGUGCUCAUUAUUCAUGCUCUUGACAACCAAAUCAGCUAUUCCAAGUUCCCUCUCAACUGAAGCAUAAACAAACCAUUGGCAAGGAGGUUUGCAUUUUGCUCUAAACCUUUUUUUUCAUUUGUGUAUGGCUUUACUGGUUUUCCUUUCAUGAUGGAAUAUGUUCUAACAGCUAAUCUUAGCUGUUCAGCUGACUCAAACUUCAUUCCUAUGUGAAACUCAAAAUUAGGGUCUUUUAGAUCUCUCUCCGGAUUGAAAUCAACAUACCUAUUCCUCCAGUCAUCAUCAUUCUCUUCAUCUGAGGAGCCAGCAUCACUAUGCAACUCAGUCACCACUGUGUCUUUAUUUAAUGCAUGGACAUCAUCUAAAUGAGGAGCUGCCUCUUCUCCUGAUGCUCUAUUGUUGUUUCUUCUCCUUCUAACUUGCUUCUUCCUCCGCGACUGUUGGUUUCCAGUUCCCACAUCCGUGGAUUGUUCUUCAUUUGUCUCAGGCUGCUGCUGAUGUUCAAAUUCAGUUUCAAGUCCUGAUUGUUGUGACCAUGGAUCCAUCCCAGCUGUUUGUUGUUGUCUGCCUAGCUCAUCUACAACUGAUUCUUGCUGUUGUGCAGCAUUAUUACAAUCAUCAUUAGAAUUGGGAUGUUGUGAAGAUCUAGGUUGCUCUGUAUUUGAAGAAUCCACACCAGAUUUUAGCCCCUCAACAAUCAAUUCUUCUAACAUUUCUUCAUCCCUACAGAAAUCCCUAUCAGCACUAAAGCGAUCACAGUCUCCAUCCGAAUCAGUAUCAGUCUCCACUUGGCCAUCUAUAUUUCCUCUAUCAUUUGCAUCCCCAUCAUCCCCAUUAUUCAAGGCAUUCUCUUUAGAAGAGUUCCCAACAUCUAUCUUGCCAAUUGAUCUUGUAAAUGGCACUAGUUCAAAUCCAGGUUCCCUAAUAACAUUUCCAUUUUCGUCAAGUUCCUCGAUGGUGACUGCGGCUUUUUUACUCAACUGUAGAUCAGAAGGAAGGGACUUUGUGGCCAUCAUCUUGAUUUCAUUCUUUGACUGGUGGUCACAGUACACCUCCAUGAUUUUAUGCUUAUAAGCCUAAUUGCAAAAACUGAUAAUGGCUUUAUCAGUAGAUAAUUCCUUCAACCCAUUUCGAAAAUCUUUUCCAGGCUCAACAUAGUAAUACACCAUACAUCCAUAAUGCCCUAAUUUAUCCACCAUGUAGUUUAUUUCAUGCACAGACAUUGUUUCCGCAUCACAUAAAUCAACAUAAUCUACAUGCCCAUCAAUGUAUCUGUAAUUUUGCCAAUUGAAUUUACCCCCAUGAUACAUUCGUAUGGUGAACAGAGAAGAACCUGGCACUGCAUGACAUGCGAUUAGUUAAAAAAAUUAAAAUUUUAGUCAAAACUAGUAAACCCAAAUUCAAUGAAUGAAUUAUUUAUUAACCCUUUUUUCCAGCAUUAAGAAUACUUUAAUCAGUGUACUUUGAAAUCUCUAUGCUUUAUUGCAAAAAGCCAAAACAACGAUAAAAUGUAGCCCAUACAUACAUGAAACACACAAUCUAUUCUGGGAUGUGGAUAACUAAACAAACUUAGGGAUUUUAAAACUUUACCGUAUGCAUCAGAUGGAUCAAAAUGCUGGCCCCUUGGUCUAAUCACCCACUUGGGCCACUCCAUCGUUCCACGAAAUGAAGAUCUUGUUUGUCAACCCGUUCUGCUGUCGCUCAAUCCCCCAAAAUUCUUCGUUGUUGCGUUUUUCUUUAAUUGUCAAUUGUUUGAUGUUUGGGUUUAGGCAAGGAAGAAGAAGAACAGAUGCAUGGGAGAGGAAGAAGAGGUGCAAGUGAUAUUUUCGACUUCCUAAAUUGACCCUACCUUUUGUAUUGGAAAUCGCGCGGACAGACACCUCUGCAAAGUUAACGACUAAAUUUAACAGAAUGGACUCGAGUCUACCUUUAAUACAGUUUGAUGGUCAAAACCAGCCUUUUAAUAGUUGAGUGACCAAAACUCGACGAUGGCAAAAGUUUAGUGGCCACUGGGAUAAUUUGCUCUUUAUUUGGUUCAUGGAUAUGUGAUCGGUAUUUGCCAAAUUUGUCAAACACAUGCCCAACUUUCUAUAGGGAAAUUUAGGAAUAAUUUUAGAAGCUUCCCCUAAAGUUUCUAAUAAUUUUACUAUCCUUUCCUAAAAUUUUAAAAAUAUUAUUAACCUCUUUUAAAACUAAUUUUCUUGUGACAAAUUACUAGGACCGUCAAUGACGCCGAACCAACUAGAGCUCAACCUAUUUGGCCCCAAAAAAGAUCCAUGAGUCUAAAGUAUAAUUGAAUCGGGCAAAGUUUUGAUCUAAAUAUUAGAUCCGGACAAAAUGUAAGUCAAAUUUGAGUCAUUCUAGGUUCAUGCCUGAUUAAAACUACACCCAUGUAUGAGUAUAAUUAUAUAUGUAAAAUAUAUAUGAUAAUAUAUAUAAUUUAUAAUUAUUUAUACUACAUAUACUACAUAUAAAUGCAGAGGAGGGUGUUUGGGGUAAACAAAAAUCUGUCACUUUAUAUACUUCAUGAACUACCCUUGAUGAUGAAGAAACUUUUGGUAUAAACAAAAAUUUAUCUUUCUUUGAUAGCUACCCACUACCAAUAUGAUUUUUACCAAAUAAUAUGUAUUUUUUCAUAUUCUAUUUUUCAACUUAUUUAGUAACUCUUAAUUUUAAUUAGCAACUACCAAUUAUGGUUCUGAAUAACUAUUAAAUAACUACUUUUUAUAACUUUUAUUAUUUUAAAAUUUUCACAUAUGUAUUUUCAAAAUAUAAAAUCAAUUUUCUUAAAAAUUAUUUUAAUAAAUAUACUCAAUAUAUUUUACAAAUACUUUUUCUAUUAGUUGCACACACAUUAGUAUGUGUCUUAAAUACUAGUACAUAUUGCGACAUAAAAUGUUAAUAAUUUAUAUGUAAAUUUGCAUUAAUUCAUAAUUAUAAAGUAUAUAUUAUAUAUAAUUAUGUAUUUAAUUAUAAGUUUGGGCCAAACCCGAUUUGAUUCUGAAACUCAUAUAAUAGUGUGAGUUGAGAUUAAACCUUUUUAAUAUAAACAAGAAUCCCAAAAGCUUGAAACCUGAAAAUUCAUAUAAUUUGUGAACUAAGUUUGGGCUUGCUAAAGUCCGAUUGACACCACUACAAAUUAUCCCAAUUCGUAAAAAAAUUAAUAACAAAAAAAUGUGCAUUCAUUUUUUUUGUUAUUAUUGGUUUGAAAUUAAUACUAAUAAAAAGCUAUUAUUCGUUUGAAAAGCUAUUCUUUUUUUUUUUAUUAUUCUUCUGUCCUGGAACUUGGAUAUUUGAGUAUAGUAACAUGUGUAUACUGGGGGAAGACCCUUCUGCUAUUUGUGGCAGCUGUUUCGGAAGAUGUAUCCCGAUGAUAAUUCUUCCCGAAGAAAAUGGCAUAGUGGAAUGAGGCCGUAGAGAAUUGUGCAUCGCCACAUCCGCUUUUGGAUGGGCAAAUGGUAAUUUUCACAAAGAUGCAUAUAAAAGAAUAAAAUAUCUUUAGUCAUUCUGACACCAGAAAAAAAAAUUUUCAAAACAAAAAUACUAUUUCGCCCAAAUGCGGCGAUUCUAAGUGCAGAAAACAAUCUCAUCGAACACUUUAAAUGAGAUAUUUUCUAAAUUUAGGAUUAUUUGUAGAAAUUUGUCCAAAUAUCCAUACAAAUUAAACUUGACUCUAACUCUAUGUCCUAAGCUCUAACAAUAUUUGAACUCUUAAAAGUUUUUGGUCCAAGGCUGCACUGCCAUGCUUGCGUCCAAGGCUGCACUGCCAUGCUUGCAUCAACAAAAUAUAUGUUUGGAAGCUCCAAAGUACCGUUUUGUAAAUUGAGUUCAUUGCAUUUAUCUCCCUAGAGGUUUAUCUAAAUCACAGCAAUAAAUCCAUAGUUUUUUUUAAGGGUAAAUAACCUUUUAUCUCUCUAUGAUUUGGUGCUUUACCACAUGACUCUCUUAUAGUUUAAAAAUCUAUAUAUACCACAUGACCUCCAUAUAGUUGAAAAACCUAUAUAUAAUCCUUUCGUGAUUUGGGUUAAAGUGAUACCAUUAGUUUUUCCAUUAAAACUAAUGGUCAAUAGUAAAAAGUCAAAAUCAAACUAAUAAAUUGACAAAUUCACUCUUUCACUACUUUUUUCGUUUUCUUUCUUUUUUUUUUUGUGGAAGCGAAGAGAUGAUUUGGAAACAUAUACUUUGGCCUAUAAAACCUUAAUUUUCUCCAAUUACAAAAGAGAUGAGAGGGAAAUAAAAAUAAAUGAAUAAGAAACAAAAAAGAUGGAAGGGAAAUAUAAAACAAAUAAAUAAGAAAGAAAAAAUACCAAAUCUUUUUUAUUACAAAUAUCAUUAUAGAUUUUUAAACCAAAUCUUUAAUGGUAUUUUCUAGUUCUUAUUUAUCUAUUUUGUAUUUCAAUUUCUUCCUUUUUAUGUUUGGAGGGGAAUAAAAAGAAGUAAUGAAAGGGUAAAUUUGUUAAGUUAUUAGUUUGAUUUUGACUUUUACUAUUAACCAUUUGUUUUAAUGGAAAAACAAACAAUUACAUAUUAACUCAAAUCAUGAGAGGGUUAUAUAUAGGUUUUUAAAUCAUAUGGGGGUUAUGUGGUAAAGUACAAAGGAUAAAAGUUAAUUUAUCCUUUUUCCAAAUCAGCCCAACAUUUUAAAUAGCCAAACAUUUGCCACUGCUCAAUUGCAUCAUUUGCAACAGAAGUUUUUGAAAUUAUCAAAAUACUGAUUUUCUAUCAUCCUUCUUCCAGCCAUUCUUUCAUCUUUCUAUAGAUUAAAGUUAGUGUAACCAAAACUCUAGUCAUAUGACAUCACUAAUAAUAGUAUAUUUCAUUGAGUGUAGUUUCUUGAACCUCCACUAUUAUAUUUUUUACAUUCCAAACUCUUUUCUAUUUCAACGUGCAAAUAAUCAAACUUCGUUUUCCAAAAAACAAAAGUAACUAUCAAUACUGAAUUCAAAUAUAAACAUAAAAUUUUAGGAUUUUUAUACAAAGACACACAUAUGAAAGUUAGAAGUAAAUAUCAAACAAAGACACUUUUCUUGGUUUAAGGAUAGGAAUUUAAUGUCAUGUUUUCUUAAAUUUAUUAUUACAUUUUUAAAAAUUUAAUGCUUUGUUAUGGAUAAAAAUCCGUAAAGUUUAGCUCAAUUUUAUUGUUCCUUACGAAAUUAGAUAUUUAAAUAAAAUAGAUAAUUUGUUGUAUGGAAACAAUGAAUUGGACCAGUGUGGUAGCGACUGAAAUAAGCCAUAUGCAGUUGAAAAAGAAAUUGUUUAUUUUCUUUUAAUCCAUAUUUAUUUUUUUGGAUAUAUUAAGGAGUUUUUUAAGAGUGGCUAUUCAAAGGGUUAAAACACAUUUUGGUCAAAUCUUAGACUCCUUUUUAUUUAGACAAACAUCAAGGGAGAUAAAUGCAGUUUCGCAGAGGGUAGUUUUGUCAUUUCACUACUUCUAAUUGGGUUUAGACACUGACUCAUAAGGGAUAAUUCGAAUUUAGUGAAACCGCAGAGUUUACUCAAUAAUACGGCCAAACCUUAGCGGAAGUACAUGCAUUAACCCUUUUUUAUUUAAAAAAAAAAGAGAUAGAGAGAAUUUUUAUUAAUCAGAUUGCUGAAAAUCGUUCAACAUUGGUUUCUUGACAAAAGCAAGAUGGCGGUAUAUUCUAUAAGGAAUCCACGAAAGCUGAAGAAUUUAGCUAUAGAAUUCAACAAAGCUACAGGAUUUUGGCAUAACAAGUCAAUUCAGGAGCUAUUGUUUUUGCCUCCAUUGUAUCCGAUUUACAUCCACAUCUGUAAUUCUAUAUAGUAUCAGACAAAACCUUAGGAAUAUCUUCUACUACUGGCCCCAUUGUAGAAAAAUCAUCAUCUUCACUAUUCAGCAAUUAAAUAACCGAUAAAGAGUCUCCUUCAAGUGUAAUAUUCGGAGUGAACAGAUUUUAUUGCUGAAUUAAUUGCCUCCUUUGUAGCAAUGGCUUCUUUCCUUCUUCGAUUCAACUGUCCCUUGGGAUAUCGUAGAGUUUAAUGCACCCUCAAAAUCAACAUUAAAUUGAUCCAUCGUACACUACCCCGCAAGAGGAACCUAGAGGUUCCACAUUGGCUUCUUUCAAAGCUACUAGGGAAUUAAUCACAAAGCGAACCAUUGAUAAAGGUUCUCCAUGCUUGCCAUCAAACAAAACCAAGUUCUGAUUGUUCCAAAUCUCAUCACAAAGAGUAGCAAACAGCUCCGAAUCCUCACUUGAAAAGAACUCACAAAAUUUCUGUAAUCCAAAGAUGAACACCAACUGAAUAGGUAUUUUCAUCAAUAUGACACCUUAAGUUUCAAACAAAUAGUGAUAUUAAAGGUUUUAGGAUUUAAAAAGCAAGGAAAUAGAAGGAUAAAAUGAGAUGUGAAUUAUAUAGACAAGUUACCUGUCAAACUAGGAAUUGUAAUUUUAAAAAAAAAACUACUUGAAAAAGCUAAUUAUUUAUUUUUCUUAUUCUUUUUCAUUUAAAAUGUGGGGUUUGUAUGAAAUUUUUGUGGCUCAAGUACUAUUACCACAUUUGAAUUGUAUUCAAUUGAUAAUAGUAAACAAAAUUAAUAUUCAAAUGUAAAGGACUAAAGUGAUAAAGUCACGAGUUAAAGGUCUAAAUAGAUAUUUUGAUAAAAGUUUGAGGACUUCUAAUAUACUGUAACUUAUCUGAAUGUAUAUCACUGGGAUUAGAGUUCUGUUUGCAUGUCAACAAAACAUUUUUUCAAAAUGAAAAUUAUGUGAGGCCUCUACAGUAGAAAAUCAAGCAAUUAAGAAUACUUACGUUACUACUUUGUAUCAUCUAUUUUUCGCCCCUUGAAUAAAGUUCUUUGCAUUCUUCUUGUUAUUGAAGAAGAUGAAACUAGUUAUCUAAAUCGAAAAAUAAAUUUUGGCUUCAAAUUUAAGGUACCAGUUAAACAUAGCAUAGAUUUUGUCAAAGAGUAACAUUAUACAAUAUCGUUAAAUUCAAACUGGAUAAAACUCGGUUAAACUACUAGGAUAGGGGUCAACUGAUCGGAUCAGUCAGAUGGUUCUGAAAAAAUCCACUGAAGUGAGUAUGAUAUUUUAAUUAUUUUAUAUUUUUAUAAGUUUCAAAAAUAUUAAAAUUAAGUUCUUAGUUAUAUUCGGCCAACCAUAAAAAUGUUACAAAAAAUUUAGGCUUGCAAUCAAAUAUACACCUAAAAAUUAUAUAUAAAAAUAUGAAUUCGUGUCUAAAUUAUGUACUUAAAAACUAAAUUAAAACAAAUCAUUCCCAAUUCGAGAUCUUUUUGCUAGGAAUAUGACUUUAUAAUGCAAGUUAGAAUCACUAAUGAUAAAUUGAUAAGAUGAUAUGGAUGAAAACCUCUUGAUUUAGAGAUCAUUGAGGGAAGCUAGUGAUUUUGAUGUUUACAUUAAAUGAGUGACAUUUUCUUAUUUCUAUUAAUAAAUGAAAGUUUUAUACUUUAGCUAACUCAAAUUAUGUUUCGGGAGAACAAGAAAGAAAAGUUUGAGAAUCGGGUCACUAAUUUGGCUUAUUUUUAAUGAUUUUGAUUGAUUUUUUAUCAAAGUAAUUUUAUGCUACAAACUACUUUCGAAAAAAGGUCGGUUCAUAUUCAGACAACAUUGACAUUAUAUGGAUAAAGCAUUUGUGAACAAACUUAUACCAAGACUAGUUGUUAGUUCAAGAGAGUUGGGACAGAUAAAUUUGUGCAAAAAUUAAUUAUCAAAGGGUAAUUACCAUUUCAACUUUUAUAAAAAAUGUCCAUGUUUAAGGAACAAUUGAAGGCACGUCAGUCAUCCAAUUAGUCUAAAGCUAAUAAUUAUAGAACAAACUACAUUGGCAUCAUAUUCUUGACGGGAAAGAACCUCAAGGGCUAUCUAAGCUGGGGUUUUGAUCGUAGAGCUGAGUCUUAAGUGCAACAUCAAAGAUUAUAUUUAACACUCAAUGAAAUAACCUCAUCGUAUUUUCCAAGUUUGAGAAAAAAGAAAUCAAUAAAUUUUGUUAGGGCAAGCAAUAGAAAUUAAAAAAUAGAUUUAAUUAGCUUUUCUAAGUUAUUUAUUAUUCAAUUCUCUAGCAUACAUAUAUUGUAAUUUCGAUAUAACUACUGUAUCUCAUUUCAUCUUGAAACUUUUAAUACCACUAUUUAAAUUUUAAGAAACCAUCUUAGUUGAAACUUCAACAUUAUGAUCAACAAUGCCAAGUCAAAACUUCGCCAUUAUGAUCGAGUCAUAAUUAAUGAUCAACAAUGCCAAGUUACAGCAAUUUGAUUUUGAACUUCGCCAUCCUGAUUUUUUGUCAAUUAUCCUAAAUUUGCACAAAAUCCGAAGCAUCGAGGACCACAUUUGCAAAAGUCAAAAGUUUAGGGACUACAUAAUUCAUAAAAUGGAUCGAUUAUAGCGUAAUUUCCAGCAACUUGGGGGUCUUUUGUUUUGCUGGCUGUAGUCCAUUGGGUGCACGUGAACUUCGUGGGAAAUUGGUGGCGUUCAAUUAUUUAACCUUUGCAAGUUGGUGAGUGGUCUGGCAGCUCUUUUGAUUUUUUUUUUUUUUUUGCUGUAGAUAGGAUUCGAAUAUCCAACCUGCAGUUCAAAAAAAGGGACUUUAGUCCCUAUUUGAUAGCCACUACCUUUCCAAGUUGGCAAGCUGUCUUGUUUACAUAAAGGUUGGGAUUUUACUGUGGAAUAUUUGAAUAUCGAACGAUAACAGUACAAUACUAAAAAAAAAUUUACUGCUAUUGUCUAUUGUGGAUAAUUCAAGCAACUAUUUUAGAAAAUGACUCUCAUAAUUAUGGUCAAGCCAAGCCAAUCCAACAGUGCUCCCAAGCUCGAAAAUACAGCAAAAGGUAAAAUGAUUUGAAACCGGAUCGACAAGUGAAUUGGACGAGCUUCCUAUUUCUGGCUCAAUCAAUUCAACCAGUUCAACUCCGAUUUAAUGAUUUUAUAAAUUUUUAAUUAUAUUAACAUUAAAUAACUUGAAUAAUAUUAAUAUAUGAAAAAUAAUGAAAAAUCGGUCCAAAGGCCGGCUGUUUACUGAUCCAAUAGUGCUCCCAAGCAUGAAAAUAUAGCAAAAGGCAAUAUUUUGAAAUUGGGACCUACAAGUGAACUGGAUGAAUUUUUUAUUCAAUUAAUUUUGCGGUUCAAUCUCUGUUUAGUGAUUUUAUUAUUAUUUUUGUUUAUUUUAAAAUUAAAUUUUUUGGAUAAAAUUAAUAUAUGAGCUAGAAAUAAAAUUUUUGUGUAAAACCAGUUCAAAGACCUUUUUUUUCUUAUCGAUUUUGAUUCAUCUGAUCGAUUUUUGAUCGAAUUUGAUUGAUUCAAUUGAGUUUCUGGGUUAAAUAUAGAAAAACAAAUUAUUCGGGAAAUCACUAAACCUUUUUAAUAGUCAAGAUUUAGCCACUCAAUUAUUAAUAGUUUGUUGUUUUCCAUUAAACUGUUAAUAAUAUAAAUUUUGUGCCAUUUCGUCUAAUUUCACUAUUGACUCUGUUAGAUCUAAGGGUCUAUACAAGAUAUAUUAGUAAUGGUUAAAUCUGGUAGAGUUAAUGACAAAUUAGAUGGAAUUGCCUAAAAUUUAAAUUUUUAAUAAUUUAGUAGGUAAAAAUUACUAUUUAUAGCUUAAUGACUAAAACUUGACUAUUCAAAAAAUUUAAUGGUCGCAGGGAUAAUUUGCUCUAAGAUCUAAGCCAUGGUUGGUUUGACGGUGGCAAAAGGUACACAUUCCACGUUUUUCGGUAAAACGCGGUAUGGUAAAUAUUCUUAGAACUAUUGCCGUAAAUCUGAAAUCACCUAUAAAAGGGUCCAUCUUUGGGCAACCAAUUUCACCCCCAAAUAAAUCCGCGAAACUAACUGAGAAAAAGAAAAAGAAAAUGGCUGCCAGUUUACGACCACUGUUCUUAGCAAUAAUAUCCCUGCUGAUGAUAUCUUCAUUGACCAGGUCCUCAGAAGGCGCUGGAAUCGCAGUCUACUGGGGCCAAAAUGGCAAUGAAGGAAGCCUGGAAGAGGCCUGCCGUAGUGGCAACUAUGACUAUGUAAAUAUUGCCUUUCUGGUAUCCUUUGGCAGUGGCCAAACACCGGAACUGAACUUAGCUGGCCACUGUAUCCCGAGCCCAUGCACCUUCCUGAGUUCUCAGAUAGAGGUUUGCCAGAGCCUGGGCAUCAAAGUGCUCCUUUCUCUUGGUGGAGGUGGUGCCGGGGCAGGGAGAGGGCCAAUCCUGGCUUCUCCCGAGGAUGCUCGCGAUGUUGCAGCCUACCUCUGGAACAAUUACUUGGGCGGUCAAUCAGACUCUCGCCCACUUGGUGCUGCUGUUUUAGAUGGUAUAGACUUUGACAUCGAAUAUGGAUCGAACCUGUACUGGGAUGAUCUCGCCCGGGCACUCUCGGGAUACAGCACAGCAGAGAGAAAGGUGUACUUAUCUGCAGCACCACAAUGCUUCUUUCCUGACUAUUAUCUUGAUGCUGCUAUCAGAACUGGCCUCUUUGAUUUCGUCUGGGUGCAGUUUUACAACAAUCCGCUUUGUCAGUAUGGUACAACCACAGGCAAUGCCGAUAACCUCUUGAACAGUUGGAGUAUUUGGUCUGCCUCUUCAGGCGUUAAUAAAUUAUUCCUGGGAUUACCUGCAGCCGAAGCGGCCGCACCUGGUGGCGGUUACAUCCCACCUGAAGUGCUAGUUGAACAGAUUCUUCCCGUUGUGCAGAGCUAUCCCAAGUAUGGAGGGGUCAUGCUUUGGAGCAGAUACUAUGACCAAAACUACAGUACAGCAAUCAGGCCUUAUGUUAACG
This 70880-nucleotide long non-coding RNA is filed under the name Coffea arabica (coffee). RNAcentral describes it as "long non-coding RNA (CARA_LNC003665)". The record is from RNAcentral. Lineage: Eukaryota; Viridiplantae; Streptophyta; Magnoliopsida; Gentianales; Rubiaceae.